AAAAAAAAAAGAAAAAAGUGUGUCCCUAAAACUAGAUAAAAAAUAUAAGAAUGAGCCCAAAAUGAGAAAAAAAAAAAAUUUAUGUGAGUUAAUCUCCACAGUUUAGCAUCAAUAAAAAAAUCAAGCUGAUAGACAUUAGGAUCAUAGCAUAAAAAAAUAUAGAAAAUAAUAGACAAAAAUAAUCACACAGAAUGCCCCUCAACUCACAGUGAAAUAAAUAUAUCUAUUACCUUGUCUAGCCUCUUUGGAAACAAAAAUUUCCUAUUUAGCCUCCUUUUAAAAAAUAUUUCUAAUCUAGCCUCAUUUUUAUAGAUUAAAAAAAAAAAAAAGAUAAAUUAAUACCUUUAAUAUAUAUUAAUAUAUUAAGUGGGUGGAGAUUUUGCAUAAUGUAUAGUCGUAUUAUUCUUAUUUUAUGUCAAAUGUUAUUUUAAAAUAAUUAACUUUAUAUCAAAUAUAGUCAUGUCAGUUCUAUAAUUAAAUCGAGUGUGCAGUCAAGUUAAAUUUUAUAUCAAUUAUAGUCAACUUUAUAUCAUAUCUAAUGUAUAGUUAUAUCAUUUUUAUUUUUACAUAAUGUAUAAUUAUAUUAUUCUUAUUUCAUGUCAAAUGUAUAGUNUCAAAUAUAGUCAUAUCAAUUUUAUAAUUAAAUCCAGUGUGUAGUCAAGUCAAAUUUUAUAUCAAGUGUAGUCAACUUUAUGUCAUAUAAAAUGUAUAUUUAUAUCACUUUUAUUUUUAUAUAAUGUAUAUUCGUAUAAUUUUUAUAUCAUAUCAAAUGUGUAGUCAAGUCAUAUAUCAAAUAUAAUCAACUUAUAUCAUAUUUAAUGUAUAGUUAUAUUAUCUUUAUUUUUAUAUAAUGUAUAAUCAUAUUGUAUUUUGAGUGCGUGUUUUUAUCAGAUUUUUAAUAAUGUCAUAUAUAUAUAUAUAUAUAUAGUCAAAUUAAGUACUAGUAAUAAUAAUAGUAGUAAUAAUAGAAAAUUAUAAUUUAAUAAUAAUGCUAUUUAUUAUUAUUAAUAAAUACUUUUUUAUUAAUAUUAUAAUAAAAAUUAAUUAUUAUUAAAUAUUAAAGAGAUAGUGUAUGUGUAUGGGUAGAGAGAGAGAGAGAGAGAGAGAGAGUACAAGUACGUGUGUGUGUUGGUGGGGACUGGGGAGACAGGAGAGAGGGUGCUGCUAGGAAAGGGUCUGAAAGAGAGAGUAGGGAUGUCUAUCGGUAUGGAUACCCAAAAUUUUAUCCGAAUUCGAACUUGAAUAAAACGGAUAUAUCCGAUACUAAAUGGAUAUGGAUUCGGAUAUGGAUAUCAAAAAUAGAAACCCGACGGAUAUGGAUUUUGACCGUAUUCGACACAAACCCGAACUCGACCUGAACCCGAAUUUAUUUUGUAUUAUAUAUAUCUAUACUAUAUAUAAAAGCAAGCACAUAUUUUAAAUUUCGGUCUGUCGACAUACCCAUUUUUUUGGUAGGAAAAAAAUUAAUUCCGCUUUCUUUACGUAAAAUAAAUAAAUAAAAAAAGAUAAAAUCUCUAUUUCUCUUUAAUUUUCAAACAAAGUAAUGCAAUAAAUAAAAUGCAUUCCUUUCCCCUUAGUUUAAAAAAAAAAGGCGGUUUUUUAGCCAGACAGCUGUAUAGUUUUAAACUUUACGCACUAAAAUAUAUAUCAUAUCUAUAUCUAUCUAUCAUAUCUAUAAUAUAGUGUCUAUCUUUAUUUCUUCUUAAUUUAUUUUUAAGUGUCAUCUAUAAGAGGCUAACCGUUUUUAAACCUAUUCGUAUUUAAAAAAAGACAACAUCUUUAUUACUCUUUUAUUUUCAAACAAAUUAAAAUNNNNNNNNNNNNNNNNNNNNNNNNNNNNNNNNNNNNNNNNNNNNNNNNNNNNNNNNNNNNNNNNNNNNNNNNNNNNNNNNNNNNNNNNNNNNNNNNNNNNNNNNNNNNNNNNNNNNNNNNNNNNNNNNNNNNNNNNNNNNNNNNNNNNNNNNNNNNNNNNNNNNNNNNNNNNNNNNNNNNNNNNNNNNNNNNNNNNNNNNNNNNNNNNNNNNNNNNNNNNNNNNNNNNNNNNNNNNNNNNNNNNNNNNNNNNNNNNNNNNNNNNNNNNNNNNNNNNNNNNNNNNNNNNNNNNNNNNNNNNNNNNNNNNNNNNNNNNNNNNNNNNNNNNNNNNNNNNNNNNNNNNNNNNNNNNNNNNNNNNNNNNNNNNNNNNNNNNNNNNNNNNNNNNNNNNNNNNNNNNNNNNNNNNNNNNNNNNNNNNNNNNNNNNNNNNNNNNNNNNNNNNNNNNNNNNNNNNNNNNNNNNNNNNNNNNNNNNNNNNNNNNNNNNNNNNNNNNNNNNNNNNNNNNNNNNNNNNNNNNNNNNNNNNNNNNNNNNNNNNNNNNNNNNNNNNNNNNNNNNNNNNNNNNNNNNNNNNNNNNNNNNNNNNNNNNNNNNNNNNNNNNNNNNNNNNNNNNNNNNNNNNNNNNNNNNNNNNNNNNNNNNNNNNNNNNNNNNNNNNNNNNNNNNNNNNNNNNNNNNNNNNNNNNNNNNNNNNNNNNNNNNNNNNNNNNNNNNNNNNNNNNNNNNNNNNNNNNNNNNNNNNNNNNNNNNNNNNNNNNNNNNNNNNNNNNNNNNNNNNNNNNNNNNNNNNNNNNNNNNNNNNNNNNNNNNNNNNNNNNNNNNNNNNNNNNNNNNNNNNNNNNNNNNNNNNNNNNNNNNNNNNNNNNNNNNNNNNNNNNNNNNNNNNNNNNNNNNNNNNNNNNNNNNNNNNNNNNNNNNNNNNNNNNNNNNNNNNNNNNNNNNNNNNNNNNNNNNNNNNNNNNNNNNNNNNNNNNNNNNNNNNNNNNNNNNNNNNNNNNNNNNNNNNNNNNNNNNNNNNNNNNNNNNNNNNNNNNNNNNNNNNNNNNNNNNNNNNNNNNNNNNNNNNNNNNNNNNNNNNNNNNNNNNNNNNNNNNNNNNNNNNNNNNNNNNNNNNNNNNNNNNNNNNNNNNNNNNNNNNNNNNNNNNNNNNNNNNNNNNNNNNNNNNNNNNNNNNNNNNNNNNNNNNNNNNNNNNNNNNNNNNNNNNNNNNNNNNNNNNNNNNNNNNNNNNNNNNNNNNNNNNNNNNNNNNNNNNNNNNNNNNNNNNNNNNNNNNNNNNNNNNNNNNNNNNNNNNNNNNNNNNNNNNNNNNNNNNNNNNNNNNNNNNNNNNNNNNNNNNNNNNNNNNNNNNNNNNNNNNNNNNNNNNNNNNNNNNNNNNNNNNNNNNNNNNNNNNNNNNNNNNNNNNNNNNNNNNNNNNNNNNNNNNNNNNNNNNNNNNNNNNNNNNNNNNNNNNNNNNNNNNNNNNNNNNNNNNNNNNNNNNNNNNNNNNNNNNNNNNNNNNNNNNNNNNNNNNNNNNNAAUAAAAUUUAAAUUUGAGUUUAAAUCGUGAAUUAAAUUUAAUUUUAAAUUUUUGAUUUCAAAUCUAUCCAUCUAUUUUAUACUAAAAUUUAAAUUUGAUAUCGUAGAUAUUUUCUAAUAAAAUAUAACAUAUAUAUAUAUAUAUAUAUAUAUAUAUAUAUAUAUAAAGUCCGGCUACUAUGCUAUUAAUAGCAUGAAGCACUUGGUGCUACCAAGUUUUAAUAUAUUUGAUGUUAUAUUUGAAUUUGUAUUUUAAAAAUUUAGAUUUAUUAUAAUAUAUUUUGAAAUAUUGAAAAAAAAAUAAUUGUUUCGUGUUCAAAUUAUCGGGUUCGGGUUCGGGUUCGAGUUUCGGAUUUUUUGUCGGGUUCGGGUUUGGAUAUGUAUUUUUAAAAUCCGCGGGGUUCGGAUUCGGGUUUGGAGUCGGGUUCGGGUUCGGGUUUUUGAAAAUCCGCCUCGAAUCCGACCCGUUGACAUCACUAGGAGAGAGGUGUGGGGUUGGGGAGGAGAGAGAAAGAGAGUGAAAAGAGAUCUCUCAAAAUAGAAGAGGAGAGAGAAAAAGAUAAUCUCCAUCCACUUCACAUAUUAAUAUAUAUUAAAAUGGCUAAAUUACAGAAAAUUCACUUUUCUCCCUGUCAUUAAAAAACUACACUUUGCCCCCUUAUAAAAUAAAAAAUGUGCACUUCAUCCCCUACCAUUAGGGUUCCGUUAUAACAUUUUUUUAUAUGCCAAAAAUACCCCUCUGCCCCUCUUUCCUGUUGCUUCGAUGGCUUCCGGGACGGCGCCCUCACCGGCCUCACCCUCCUCCACGAGCUCAACAUUUUCUUCGACCGCCCCCUCGACGCCAUCUUCCUUAACUCCAACCACCUCCGCCGUCGCCACCCCAUCCCCGCCAACCUCGGCGACUCCCCGGCCUCCAUCAUCGUCCUCGCCCACAACAAACUCGGCGGCUGUAUCCCACCCUCCAUCGGCCGCAUGGCCGACACCCUCAACGAGAUCGUCCCUCGCUGCCUGCGUCCCACCCGAGGCCGGCCUCCUCCGCCGCGGAUGAGGAGGAUGAGGGAGAAGACGAAAAUGGCGAAGGGCAAAAUGGUCAUUUUGUCACACCGUAUUCCUCUGUGAACAUUUUUUAUUUUACAAGGGGGCAAAGUGUAGGUUUUUAAAUAACAUGGGAGAAAGUGAAAAAGCGGAUUUUGACAGAAAAAUUUUCCGUAAUUUAGCCUAUUAAAAUAUUAAUUUAUUUUUUUUAAUUUAUAAAAAUAAGUUUAUAUUAGAAAUAUUUUUAAAAGAAAAUUUUCUCUAGAUAAAAAAUUUUUAUUUCCAACGAGUAAAUAGAUCAUAAAUAUUUCUCUCAUCGAAGGAGGACAAAAGAUCUAGAUAAUUACAUACUAGAUCAUANAAUAGAUCAUAAAUAUUUCUCUCAUCGAAGGAGGACAAAAGAUCUAGAUAAUUACAUACUAGAUCAUAAAAAAAAUAAAUAAAAACGAAAAACAAACCGAUUGUUACUAGCACAUGUGACAAAAAAUUUUAAUAGUUGGUAUCGGAAACUUUAAAUUGCUAGUUGAUUUAUAUUUUUAAUUAAUUUAUUUUUAAAAAAUUAAACGAAACUGAAAUUCAGUUCAAAUCUGUAAAAUCGAAAAAAAUGACCCACUUUUGUAAAAUCGCAAAACUAGUAAAUUUUUUAUGCAAAUUUGCCUUCUAUCUUUCUUAAAAUAAUUAAAAAAAUAAACAAAAAUGUGUCCGGCCAUACGGCCGGGACAGAGAGAGAACCAAGAAGGAUAAAAAGAGGGGGUGUAGAGAGAGACAGAUAAAGAGUUUUUUAAAAAUAUAUUAAUUUUUAGAAGGAUAAAUUUUAAUUUAACGUAGUGCGCCACUUUCUCAACUUGAUUUGAAAAAUUAUUCUUGAAUAUUCUACAAUUUUAUUCUUAUUUCAUCCAAUAAAGAAAUAAAGAAAUAUUUUUUUUUAAAAAAAAUUACAUAACAAUAAAAAUUAAGAUUAAACAUAAAAUACCAUAUUUUUUGGUAUCAAGUAUCAACAACUAAUCAUGUGAAAAAAUAUAACCAUUCAUUAAUUUUAAUUUUCCAAUAACUUUCACGUUUUCAUUAUUAAUUUGUAAUAUUAAAUUAAUUAUCAUAACAUUACAAUCUACGCUAAUUAAUUAUAAUUUUAUAAUAAUUAUCUCACUUUUAUUUAUUAUUAAUUUCUAAUAUUGUCUAUUAAUUCUAAUAUUAUCGAUCGACUCUGCUAUCAUAGUUAAUAAAGGGGCGUUUUAUUUUUAAUAUAAAAAAUUGUUUUUUUAUUUGUUUUAAUUUUACAUAAAAAUAUUUUUUCGAAAAAUUUUUUAACCGAUUUAAAAAGAAUUAAAUUUUCACUUUUUCACUGUUUUACAGCAUAAAAUGAAAAAAAAUUGAACUCUCUAAAAUUUUUUUCAUUCAUUUUUUGUUUUUUGACCGAAACAACUUUUUUUUCUGUAAACCACAUACUACAAAUCGUUGAAAAAAAAAGUCACCAAAAUUUUAUGUUACAAAAAAAAAAAAAAUUUCGCGAUUUUACGUAGAACCAAACAGAGCGGAACCAAACGGAACAUAGACGUAAUAUUUUAAACGACAUAUAUAAUAGCAAAAGUAAAAAAGAAAAAAUAUGCUAAAUCACGCCAUUUACCCAUUUCAACAUUCGAUCACAAGAACACGAGAACACGAGAAACACAUGGUAUGGUAUAUAUUUGUAACUACCUCUCUGUGAUCUCUGAUCUCUCUGAUCUCUUUAUGUAUCAAAGAAAACCCAUGGAUCGACACGAACCCAUGCACCUAAUUGUCUUUGAUAUAUAUAUUCCUGUACUAGCUAGACUGGCCUGAAGGAGGUGAGCUUGCGGAAUCCCUGCCAGGCCUUCUCCCACACCACCGCCUCGUAGCACUCGCUGCCGGCGGCAUCCGCCUCUGCCUGGAGGACGAGGCGGUAGUUGAUGCCGGCGACGACCUGCGUCUCGCCGCGCAGCACCCGGACGAAGGCCGCCACCGCGUACUCCCCGAUCUCCCGCACGUGCGCCUCCCCCACGUCCUCGAUGCGCCGCCACCCCCCCGCCACCGCCCCGCCCCGCGCUUCCCCUUCCACAAGAAGAAGAAGCAGCAGCAGGAGCAGCAGCAGAGGGAGGGCGCGGAGACGAACAGAUCUCAUCGCUCUUUCUUUUUCUUUUUCUUUUUCUUUUUUCCUUCCUUGUGUUUUUUGGGGGAGAGAGAGGAGAGAGGAGAGGAGAGAGUUUUUUAAUUUUUAGGGUUUGAAUUUGGGGGUCCUGAUCCCCUUUAAAUAGAUGGAUAGGAAUCAGGGAGGAUUGAGACGGGCGAGUGCGGAGUGAGUUAGUGCGUGCACCCGGUGUACAAGAUAAUUUUUGAGGGAAAACUUUAAAUACCACUACUGUGGUUUUAUACUUUUUUUUUUUUUUUAUUUUACUGUCUUACAAUUUAAAGUAUAUUAAUUUAGUAUCCUGUGGUUUUAUUUUUCUCUUUUCACUAUCCUCUCCACUAAUUUUUUUUAUUAAAUCAGUGAUAAAGUUAAAACUAAAAAGUACUAAAGUAAAUAUUCGAUAAACUUACAUGAGGUAUCUUAAGUUUUUUGUAUAUAAUAAUUUAACAAAAUGUUAAUAAAGCAGCCGACAAAAAGAGAAAAAUAAAAUUAUAGGGUACUAAAUUGAUACACUUUAACUCACAUGCUACUAAAGUGAGAAAGUGCGAAAUCACAGGGGUGGUUGAAGUUUAUCCUAAUUUUUACUAUAGAGAUCUUAAACUCAGAUAAAUAAAUUAGAUGUGUUUUGUAAUAAUUAAAAGAAUUGGAUAGCGAAACACAAAUAAUUUAGAAUCCUUUCAGGUCAGCAAAUUUUAUAAUAUAACUUAGCUAACUAAAUGAUGGCACAUCGGUUAUGUAACGUUGAUCCGAUAAUAUUAAAAUUGAUGAUUUAUCAUUUGGCCAAUUUAUUUGUAUUAUGAGAUUUGAGUUUUAUUAGUGCGAAAAAUUUAAGUCGAAUUAUAAUAUUUUAAAGAUUGUGAAUCAAAACAUCACACUGUUCUUGUAAUUGGGGAAUAUAUAAAAAUAUAGUUUAACUUCUAAAAUGUUAACUACUACAAACUAUUAGAUCUGGUGUAUGAUGGGUAUGUAAACACAGGGUGUUGGCAAUAACUGCUGCGCGUGGGUUUCGUUGCGGUUUUGGGGCGCUGUGGGAACAAAAACAAUGACACGUGUAGAGAGAUAAAAUGUGAGAGAGAGAGAGAGAGAGAGAGAGAGUGCGAGGGGCGUGACAUGCAGUGGACGCGGAAUAUUCGAGAAGCAGAUUUCUGCGCGCUGUCGACGAGAUAGUCUUUUCAGUCGGACUGCUCCGACUAUAGUCAGAUAAUUCGCAAAUUAUUCAUAAAUUAUUAAAAAUUUAAAUAAAAAAAAUUAAUUUAUUUUUAAAAAAUAAAAUAAUAUGUAGAUUUUUAGACUAAAUUUAUUAUUUGCGCGUAAUUCGCGUAUGCUGAACUAUAUACCCAAAAAAAUAGGUAAAUUUUUUUAGAUAAAAUUCUUUUCUAAAUUUUGCUGAAUUAUUCUCGAAUUAUUGAAAAAUUUUAUAAAUUUUCGAAAUAUGUGGAUUAUGAAAAAUAUGAAGAUAGAGACGAUAAUAAAAUUUACUAUUUCUUUUUUUAACUUAAUCUAUUUUAUUUUAUAGCUUUUUUUUUAUAUUUUUAAAAAUUUAUAACUAUAUACGCUAGUAGCAUAAAUUUAGAGAAAAAAGGUUAGUUUAAUAGCUGAACUUUUGAUCCCGAAUUGUUAUUUGGUGAAUAUAUAAUAUCCGUAUAAAUCGCGUAUUCGAACAAUUGAUGAAUACGUUUUUUAAACCGUAUUUUUCAACAAAUUUAAAAAUUAAGAUACGAAUUUUAUUUGAAUUAUACCUUUACCAAACUUUUACCAAAUCCAAGUUAAUUAACUAUAAAGAGACGAAGGGAUUUUAUUUUUUAUUUAUUUUUGGAUAAAAAUAUAAUAAUUCAAAAAUCGGCUCGGACAGAAAAAAAAAAAAUUUGAGUCAAGAAUUUAUAAUAAAAUUUCACUACUUCGUUAAGACCUUUUAUGGCUAUACAAUUUAGAUUGAAUAGUAAUUAUUUAAAUAUUUUUUAAAAAAAGUACAAUUUGGACCUUUCCUACUGCUUAAAAGCCUACAAUGAUUCAACCAACUUCAUUAACACAUUCUAUAACCACCUAAUUUUAAAUUGAAUCAUGUAAUAAUUUAAAUAAUUUUUAUAUGGAGAUUUACCUUUUGAAAUAAUAAUAAACCUUACACAAAAGGGGGCUCUUACUAUAAUUUAAAUCCCGGUUACACAAAAAGCUUGCAACAGCUUUAAUCUGCAGUUUAAACUACCCGAACAGAUGAAUAAUUAAUUCAGUACAUAACUUCACUAAAACAAAUUGGCAUAUCACAUAGAUUUUAGUUGUAAAUAUCUUACUAAUAUUGCCAUUGCAAAACUAUAUCAAAACCAAGAUAUAAGAGAUUUUAGUUCUAACCCAAUAGAUGAAUAAUUAAUUCAGUACAUAACUUUACUUAAAACAAAUUGGCAUGUCACAUAGAUUUUAGUUCUAAAUACCGUACUAAUAUUGCCACUGCAAAAAUAUAUCAAAACCAAGAUAUAAGAGAUUUUAGUUCUAACCCAAUAGAUGAAUAAUUAAUUCAGUAACUUCACUAAAACAAAUUGGCAUAUCACAUAGAUUUUAGUUCUAAAUACCUUACUAAUAUUGCCACUGCAAAUAUAUAUCAAAACCAAGAUAUAAGAGAUUUUAGUUCUAAUCCUUAUAUAAUUCAGUACAUAACUUCACUCAAACAAAUUGGCAUAUCACAUAGAUUUUAGUUCUAAAUACCUUAGUAAUAUUGCCACUGCAAAAAUAUAUCAAAACCAAGAUAUAAGAGAUGUCCUUUACUAAUGGCGUCCAAAAAUAGACACUUUCCUAAACAACUUACUUAGACCUCAUUUGAUAUUGUUGUCAUUAUUAUUACUAUUUUUUAACACUAUAUCUAUAUAGUUUUAUGUGUUAAAGGAGAAUUUUUUUUUUUUUUACUAUCAUAAUUGAUUAGCUUAUAAUGCAUCUAGCAAAAUAGUAGAUAACAAAUUAUCUAAAACAAAUUUAAAAAGUACAAAAACUUCAUUUCUAAUUUUCAUUUUCUGUUACCAAGUAAAUACUUAAUGAAGUAAUUACAAGUAAUUUAUUGUUCACUGCUACAUCUUUUAUUAUACAAAAUUCUAUUUAAAAAAAAAUAGAAAACAAACAUGAUAUCAAACAAGACCUUCAUUUACUUUAUUAUUUUGUUAAACUACAUAAAUCUAACAUCACCCAAUAACUCAAUGAAAAUUUUGCAUCCAAAUUCACAUACCAUCCCAAAUAUUUUGACCUAUAUGAAACAGCUUAAAAAUUGCAAAUACAUCCAAUCUCAGUAGUCACAACUAGCAAAAUAAAUAUAUCACAAACACAAUGAAAAAACCUUCUUAAAUAUCCAACUUGCCAAAUUAUAUAUUAUAUCCACUCAAAAAGUUACAAUUAGCAAUUUGAUAAUCUCAAAUACUAUUCAAAAUGAGAGGACUUCCUGUGUAAAAUUAUUUGAGAGAAUUACUAUCAACAAAUCUCACUACCUCACUUCCCCAUCUGCUAUGGAUGAGACCUUGCAGACUCCGGCCGAGGUGGUGAAGGGCACAUCCUUGUAAGAGGCAACCAAGUCAGCGUUUGUACGGAGAUCAGCUUGAACCUUCUCCCAUACUUUGCUCUUCGCAUUUAACACGCUAUCCGGUUCGCCCGAAUAUCCAGGAAAGGUUACGCGCUCCCCUACUACAGCCGACGCCGGCGGUUCGACCAACUCCACCUGAGUUGAAGAUUUUUUAGACAUUCUGUACUAUUAUACAGAGGCAAAGAUGUAUGGAUUAUUUUGAAAACGGACCCCCCAACGCUUUUUUCCGUUUUCUCCUUUUGACCAACAAAUGCUUAACUUUGGGCACUUUAAUUUACUUAUAACCAAAUAGUGAAUUCUAUUGAAGUUAAUGGCACCACGCCCUUUCUAGCUGACCAAGUUGGGAACGGUAGAGCCAUCAACUUUAAGCGAAUUUCCAUUUCAGACGACAGGAAAACUGAAAAUUCAUACCGAGAAAGGGAAAAAUAAUGAUAUGCCAGACAUCCUGAAAUUGUAAUCAAUUGUAGAUCAUCAUGUCAAAAGUUUAAAACGAACUGCAUAAACUUUAUAAUUGUUUCAAUCAGCUUCCUAGCCCCCCCAUUGGGUUAAUUUUACCUAACAAUCUUAAAUAAUAUGAAGGCCAAAUCACUCAAAUACUCCUAACAUUAUACAGGCAUUCAGCAGAAGUCAUUGGGCUUUGAUGCGAUUAAAGAUUGCUAAACAAAAUUAAUAGAAUUUUAGGACAGUUGGUUGGUUGAGACAGUUACAAAGUUCAAGUAAUUUAUUUUAACUUCUUAAAGUUCAGACGAUGAUCUGCAAACAGAGCUAUUGUUCAGACGGUCCAGCAUAUUCUCCCUUCUUACAUCCUAUAGCAGUAAGAACCCCAUAUGGAGUCCAAUAACACAAUGUGUGAUAUCAAAAGAUUCAAAACUAACAGAGAGAUCAAUAUGAUCUAGAUGACGUCUUGCGGUGACAAAUUUCAAUGCUACAGAAUACCAGAAAUACCAGGUAGUUGAAUCACAGCAAAGCUCUAGUGUAAAGUUAAAAUGGAAAAAAGGUUCAUAUGUCAGAAAAAGACAAAAAGCAUAAAAGCUUACUUUGGUAUGGUCAUCAUUUGAUGCAGCUAAAACCAUCGCAUGUGAUUUAAUACCACGCAUAGCCACUGGCUUCAGAUUACAGAGAACACAAACUUUCCGAUUCUGCAAAUUGAGAAAUGGCAAUAAUUAUACAAGAUGAGGGUAAAAAAAAACUAAAAAUGGAGAAAUAAUAUCUCCAUCUAAAAACAUUUUUGCAAGAGAAAAAAAAAAUAAAAAAUCUGCCUCUCUAUUAUUUGCGAAAGGAGGACACUUUUUUUAGCUUUUUACAACUUCAGACUAGAGAUGUCAACGGGUUGGAUUCGGGGCGGAUUUUUAAAAACCCGAACCCGAACCCGAACCCGAACCCAGUGUUUGAAAAGGCGCGAGGCGCAAAAAGGCGCAAGACUCUCCUGGAGCCUAGGCGCGAGGCGUACUGCGAGGCGCGCGCCUCAAAAAGGCGAGGCGCACAGUAAUUUAAUUUGAUAUUCUACAUUAAAAAAACUCCAAAAUAACUAUACAAAACUAAAAUAACCAUAAAAAAGUAAAGAAAACACUUGCAUAUAGGUUCUCAAGUAAAAAAAAAAAUAUUUCGACCUUUAACUUAAAAGUGAUUGUGGUGCCAAUGUUUUCAUUUAGCCUCAAGAAGGAGAAGAGGGCGGUAAAAGGAGAGAGUGGUAGGAGGAGAGGGCGGUAGAUGGAUUUCAUUAGGGUUUUUUUAGGUUUCUUUUAGAUUCUUUUACUAAUCUUAUCGGACUAAAACAUAAAAUUUAUAUCCGAAAUCCAAUAACCCGAAAACUUUAAUCAAAAAUCCAAAAAAUAUUAAAUAUGCCGAGACGCGCGCCUCAGGGCCUAGGCGCGCGCCUCAGCAAUAGGGCCUCGCCUCGCUAUUGCUGAGGUGCGGAGGCCCGCGCCUCGCGCCUAGGCGCUGAGGCGCGCGCCUCAGGCGCGACUUUUCAAACACUACCUGCAAACAGACCCAAACCGAGACCCGAAUCCAAACCCGGAACCCACGGAUUUAAAAAUCCAUAUCCAAACCCGAACCCGACCAAAAAUCAAACCCGAAUCCGAAUCCGAACCCAAAAAUUUGAACCGCGAAACAAUUAUUUUUUUUUCAAUAUUUCAAAAUAUAUUAUAUUAAAUCUAAAUUUUUAAAAUACAAAUUCAAUAUAUAACAUUAAAUAUAUAUAUAUAAUAAUAUAUAUAUAAAUUAUAUAUAUAAUAUAAAUAAUAGUAUAAUAUAUAUAUAUAUAUUAUAUAUAUUAAUAUAUAUAAUAACGAAAAAAUUCGGGUUCGGGUCAGAUUUGGGUCGAGUUCGGAUUCGGAUCGGGUACAGUCAAAAUCCAUAUCCGAAUCCAUAUCCGUCGGGUUUCUAUUUUUGGUAUCCAUAUCCGAAUCCAUAUCCAUAUCCAUAUCCAUCGGAUAUAUCCAUUUCAUUCGGGUUCGGGUUCGGAUAAAAUUUCGGGUAUCCAUACUCAUUGACAUCCCUACUUCAGACCACUUCUCAACUUGGACCAAACUGCUUCUUCAAUGAUAAUUCUGAAUCAUUGAUGCACAGUUUUAAACUACACUAAUAUUAUUGCAUAACUUUGGAACCGUGAAUCGUUGUCCUACAGUAGUGUAGUUCGGUCCUAAAUGUUGAAAACUAGGGGUAUUUUCAAAAAUGGAAAAGUGAUGCUUUUUGUGAAAAUGAACAAAAGUGGACUGUUUUUUGCAAAUAGGUGAAAUAAAAGAGAAACAGGAGCAAACUACAAACCUGCAUCUCUUCAAGGGGAAUGUAUUUGACAAGGCCACUGACCACCGUUCUAGUCGACUCUUCUCCAACAUCAAUUUCUUCGACAUAAAGGGAAUCAGCGUCUGGAUGCUUCUGAGCUUUCUUGAUGCGACCCACACGGAUAUCAAGCCUGGAGAUCGUAACUUCUGCUUCAGCUGCCUUUGUUUUUGUACUACCAGCUGGCUUUGUCUUUUCUUUCUUCGAAUUACCUUCUGUACAAAAUAAAGCUCCAGUGCUAUUUUGUUCUCUUAUAAAAAUAAAAAAAUAAAAAAAAUACGAACAAUAGCAUAAGGAGGACAUUGAGAACACUAUUCAUCUGAAUAUAGUAACUCUUACAGCUGAUUUUCUACCAAGAACUUAAUGUAUUGACUCAGCAAGUAAAUUGUCUUGUCGGUAGCAACAUAUGCAAGAUUAGCUUCAGCUUAACAAUAAGUGCAUAUUCUGCUCAAAUAAACCUCCAAAGCGAGAAGACAAUUAUAAUACACCAAGAAAUUGCCAACUAACAGAAUUUUGGUCUGAUUCACUGAACAGCAAGUGCUUCGUCCAAAUAAUAGAGUUUUCCUUUUGAUUUACAUGGAACCAACCAAACUCCUCCUGGAUCUGUUUCUACAAUACCUAGACAAUCUUAUUAACAACCACAGAGUAAUCCACCUUGAGAGUUAAGAAAACCUCGUUUUUGCACAGCAGUCUGGACUAUUUUACUUUGCCAACCAACUAUACACAACAUUUCUCACCAUGUCUGAUCAGUAAAUACCGAGAGUCCCAGGAGUACAAUUUUGUUAAAUGUAUCAUUCUCUGCUACCAACGAAACCAUCCAUCUAGGAAAGGACCACGAAGACUAACUAUUCUACAAAAGUAUCACGAAAAUGUAAGAUAUUGACCAUCAACUUAACCAAGCUCCACCACUCAACUAGUUAUUUGCAGGGUGGAAGCAUAAAAGAACAAAAAGAGCCAAUACUUAACAAGAAAGGAAAAUAUCUAAACCUGAUAUUUUUGUUGUCUUGAGUUGCUCAGCAACCUUUUUCGCAUCUGCUUCUGCUUUCAAUACCCUCUCAGCUUGACUGCCUGCAAAUUUCUGUCUGAAAAAUUCUACUUCUUCGUCUUUCUGCAUAGAUCAUUUAAAGAGCUAUAUAAUACGAUACAAAAGAGUACAGAGUGGAGAAACACUGAACAAUUAGUUAUGCCUACCAGUUCCUUAAAAAGUGGCUCAGGUUUCCCUAUUCUGUGGCCGGUAGGUAGAAAAUCCCAAGGUCUUUUUGCUUUAUCGAUAUCUCCUUUCUCAUCAGAAAAUGAGAGAUGCUCUUCUGGAGACAAAUUAAGCUGCCUCAUUACCUUGUAUGGCAAUAAAAGAAAAAAAAUAAAGAUCAGAAGACAAACUAGAGGGGAAAAAUUUCAAAAAAAAUGAAUAGUCUAGUUUCAUAAUCUUUAAGGACUAGAGGGAGGGAGGAAAAUAAAAUUGUACAAAUAACUUACUUCAUUAGAGAAGGAAGGCAUGAAAGGCUCUAAUAAACAGGCAAGAAGGUAAACAAGUCCUAAUGAAGUCUUCAUCACAAUGGCACAUGAAGAGGGAUCUUCUUUGUAAAGCUUCCAAAAUUGGCUCUCCUAUACGUAAUAGUCAGAAAAGGAAUGAGAUAAACAGAAUAUACCAAAACAACUGAUAAUCACCAAAAAUAAAGGAUAAAAGAUUCUAAAAAAACUUACUUGCAAAUAUCCAUUACCCUCGCUAGAAAUGCUCAUAGCAAUUUUCAGGCCUUGUUUUAGUUUGACCUGUUAUACAACAGGAACAGUAUAUUUAUAAUGGCAGAAAUUGGUUGACAAUACACUUCUUCCAUCUCUCUACCACCAACGCAUUGAAAGAUUUCCAUGCUAGAAUGUAGACAAAAAUAGAAGAGAAAUUAACUCAGACUACCUUCUCCAUGGCAUCAAGAUACUGAUCGACCAAUUUGCCAACAUUUUCUGCAAGAGUCUUAGUUAAUUGAUGAGACUCCGCAUUAGGAGCAUCAGGAAUAGUUGAAUCAUACCCAGCUCCUGCAGGAAAAAAAGGCAAAAUAUGUAUAAUUCUAAAACAGCUUGACAUUAUAGACAUAUGAUUGCCAUGCUCAAAGAACUAACUCUAAUAGAAAAUAGUGUAGAAAACUGCAGAUUAGAGCACUAAACUAACUAAAUCAAUACAAGCUUGCAGAAUAAGCAAUGGGAUUAGCAUGUCUUAAUGCAUAAUUUCUUAAUAACAAUACAAAAAAGCUCUAAUUCAUGAGCUAAUAGUCAAAUCCAAUAGUUAUAUACCAUUGUAUACACCAUACACUAACCUGCGGGUUUGGCAAUGAAACUCAAUACACGAUUGAUAAAAUUUCCCAAGUUACUAAGCAAUUCACUAUUGAGUUUUGCUUGCAGGUCUGCCCAUGUAAACAGUGUAUCUGACACCUAAUUCACAAAAAGCAGUAAAAAAUAGAGCUUAUAAACCACAAAGAGCUGCAAUACUUGUGCAUACUUGAAAUUCAAAAAAGAAGAAAACGAUCAAACUAACCUCUGGCCUAUUAGUGAGCAAGUAGUAACGCCAUACUUCGGUAGGAAUCUUUGUAUCCUUUGCAUCAUUACCAAAAACUCCAAUACCCUUACUCUUGGAGAACUUUCCUGUAUAUCACAGAAAAUAGAAAAGCAGAUAAUGAAUGUUGACAAGUGAACAUAUCCAACUAGGCAAGGGCCAAAAUUCUCUUUUUUUCUUUUAAAUAUAUUUCAGCAAAAGAAGUUCAGAGUUCCUUUUAAAGCUCUUUGGUUCUAACAUUUGUACAUCCUCUUAAAGCUCUUUGGUUCUAACAUUUGUACAUUUGAAUGAUUGAAUUUGCUCAAAUUAAUGGCUCCCCCUAUUUGUAAACCUGAUUGCACUAAAUCCACCAUUCUCAAGACAACUAAACAGAUCAAAGAAUGUAAUUGGCAGGUAAUAGUACCUGCUUCAUAAUUUAAAUAUUCCGUUACACUUAUUGUCUUCAUCAUUGUCCACUUUUCACCAGUUCCAAGGAGUGUGGAAGGAAACAUAACCUGGGAUAGAUGUUGUGAGCAUCAGAAGGAAACCGAGAAAAAAUAAUUACUCAUCCCUAGUUAUGACUCAUGAAUACACAAACAGCAAAAACAGUACUAAGUGAAACAAUAUCGUACUUUUCAACAAGAACAAAUUAGUUUGGGGCUUCCACGAUUUCAUAACAAAAACAAAAAACCCAAAAUAAAGGGUACCAUUACAUAUAGGAACAGACUGAUUAUGUUAAAGGGCAGAAAAAGAAAAAGUAUUCAAAUUGGGUGACUUUAAAAUUAUACUAAAGAGUCAAGGUGCAGGUUAUCUGGUCAAUCAUGUUGUAGUCAAGUGCCAGUAAAGAACAAUUUUAGUUUGUUCCUGACGUGAGAAUAGUAUUCUUACAGUGCUUAAAAGGCAAUGCAAGAAACAUACACCAUUAACCAAAAUGUGAGAAUGCUAUUCUUACAGUGUGAAAUGGCACAUUAUCUUUGCCCAUGAACUGAUAUAAUUCUACCAUAUCAGGAUUCUUCCACCACUUCUCCCAGUCAGGAGUGUAGCACGCUGUUAUUGAGAUAUACCCAAUUGGGGCAUCAAACCACACAUAAAACACCUGACAAUUAGUACAACAAACAAAAAGGAAAUAAUUAUCACGUGGACAAAAUAUAAGGCAGCAAAUCACAUCUCUAUCUAUAAAUUAACUCUUGCCAAGCUACCAAACCUUAUCUUUAUAUUUCUCAUGAGGAACAGGGACACCCCAUUUAAGAUCCCUUGUAAUACAGCGGGGUUUCAAUCCUUCCUUCAACCAAGCAUUCGUUGCUUGGAUAGCGUUUUGGCUCCAACCCCCAGCCACAGACAUUUCACUGAUAUACUUCUCUAAUUUUUCCCUCAGUAAAGGAAGCUCUAGAAAUAAGUGGUCGGUGUCACGAAUGCGUGGAGUGUUUCGACAAACCUACACACACACACACAGUUGCAAAGAUAAGCGGUAGAAAUAUAGAUGGAAGCAAUUUCACACCAAGCACUCAUUUGGCCAGACUUCUAUGACCACUUCUCUACUCAAAGUAGCUAAAGUUAAGCGUUUCACCAAAAAAAAAAAUGUUCGGAACUUUUGUUGUGGACAAAACUAGUUCAAUCUUUUGGAACUCAAAGCAGGUCCAAUUUGAAGCUUCUGCUUUCAUUGGAAAGGGAAGCUGUUCGAAAGGAUACCAACAAAAAAGCCAUUAGUGCUUCUCUAACAGCUUUUCUGAACAGCACCUCCGAAAAAGCUCCAGAGAGAACAACCAGCACAUUAAUCAUUUAAACGUACUAGGUAUGUACAGGAACUGAAAACUUACUUUGCAUUUGGGAUCAAUCAGUUCAGUAGGAUUCAACAAUUUCCCACAUUUUUCACACUGAUCACCUCUUGCAGACUCGUAAUUACAGCCAGGGGUAGGACAAGUUCCCUCCACAAGCCUGUCAGCUAAGAAGCGUUGGCAUGUGUCACAGUAAAGCUGCAAGAAAUGCGGACACAGAUUAAACAGAAUAAAAAAAUAGCAUUCAUUGAGAAGGAAUUUGUAGGGUCCUCAAUGAAUUGUCUACCAACCAACCUGCUGCAUGGUGUUCUCAGAAAGCCAAUUAUUCCCCAUCAGUUUGUGGAAAAUAGCUUGGCAAACUUCAGUCUGCGCCGGAGAAGAUGUUCGUCCAAACUCAUCAAAGCUUAUGUCAAACCACUUGUAUACCUCCUUGUGAAUGGCAUGGUAUCUACAGGGGGAGAAAAUAUACUGUCAAGUAGCAGAUUACAAGUUCAGCUAGAAAGCCCUAAAGAGAACUCUUCUCAUUUAUAACUUUCUUUUGAAUAUCUUCUAAUUGUUCUCUUCAACUACAUAAGCAUAACGUAUGGGAAUGAAAAUUUUAAUCAACCUAGUAAUAACACGAGUUUCAAGCAGCAUACUGGACAAAAGGGAAAGGUUGUAAUGUUGCAAAAUGCAAAAUAAUCUUUAUAUAGAACACUAUCCUAAUAAUGAUAUUAGGGGAUCUUACAAAGAUAUCCAACAUAAUAUCUGUCAAGCUAGCAUUCUGCAAAAACAGCAAAAUUCACCUCAUUUUCACAACUUUCUAUAUAAUGUAAAACAAGAGUGAGAAUAAAUAAGAGAAGAGAGAGAGCAGGGUUUGGUCGUGGGUAGAGAGCAGAGAGAGGACAUUGCUCCCAAUGGGAAGGAGGUGAUAAGGAGAUAAUUUUUUGAUAACAGUGUGUGUGCAUGCAUGCUUGAGAGAGAGAGAGAGAGAGAGAGAGAGAGAGAGAGAGAUAAAGUUGGCCAUAAACCUAAGGAAUUGCUAUUUUGAAGUUUCAGUGGCAACUGAGUUUUCUGAAGAAACAAAACGCGAGUAUCAUUUUCCUCCCUUCUUCAUUCAUCUAUUUCUUUGCUUCCACUUCUAGGUUGCCCACUUGCACUUGCCAUACUCCAACAUUUAGUUGCAACUCCAGAACAAAAAUUAUAAUAUAUUGCCUUUGGUUGGAGCUAUCCAAACUAGGUUUUUCUGCCAAGAAAAACUGAAAAAAUUUGGGUUCAAUUAAAAAGGGUUUAAAUAAGGCUUAACCCAAAUUAACUGAAACUAACUUAUCAGUCUUAUCAAUGGACCUUCAAUAAUUUUUGGGAAAACUUCAAACACCACCCCUAUGGUUUCACACUUUCUCACUUUAGUACCCUGCGGUUUAAAGUGUAGCAAUUUAGUUCCAUGUGGUUUCAUUUUUAUCUUUUUAUUAUGGAUUUCACUAAUUUUUUUCAUUAAAUUAGUGACAAAGAUAAAACUAAAGGGUACUAAAGUGAAUAUUCAAUAAACCUAGGUGGGGUAUCUGAAGUUUUUUGUAUAUAAUUUAACGAAAUAUUAAUGGAAAAGCUGACAAAAAAAUAAAAAUGAAACCACAGGACACUAACUUGAUACACUUUAAACCACAGGGUAGUAAAGUGAGAAAGUGCGAAACCACAGGGGUGGUAUUUGAAGUUUACCCAUAAUUUUUUCUAUCAUAUUCAAUCAUGAAAAUAACAAAAGCACCAUUUUACUAUACAAGACACAAAGUUCUAUUGAAUUAUACUACUAUCAUAUAUUCUUGUCAUGAUUAGCAGCAGAGAAGUUGAGGACAGGAGGGUUGAGAAGGGGCGGAGAAGAGGAUUAAGAAGUUGAGAAGACGAGCAAGAGAUGGGUGGUGGAGAUGAGAAUUGCAAAAAAGAAUCUCGGAUGAGCUGGACACUUCCCAGACAUGGUGAUUGGAUUAAAGGCCUUAAAAGUUUAAAAAUAACCAAAUAUUUGAAAGUGCAGUAGCCGUUACAGUGUUUUGGAAGAACAAGGAUGAUUGCGUCAUUUCACAACCUAGUAAUUGUUAGCAUUUUCUCCUAGAUAAACUAAAGUAAACACAAAUGGCAUACACGUAGAUUGAAGUUUAGAGGGGUAGAAUUGAGAACUAAAAUGGUUGAGGGGAAAAUGCGCAAUUUCACUACUCUUAGCAGGGAGAUGCAGACAAUUUUCAUUUACUUUUAAAACUGUAGAAGGGAACUUUCUCUUAAAACUUUAGCCAGUCCACUCUAAAAACCUACAUUAAUGCUUUACCAACUUCCCUACUCUAAUCUUUUAAACAUAAUUCAAUUACACCCCAGAUCUUACAAGUGCUAUCUUUCAACCAAACACACUGUUAUUGAGGCAAAAGAAAAAGUACAGAGGGAAGACCAAAGUAUGAAACUUAACAUAGAUACCAUGAGUAUGAAUCCCAAUAAAAUGACACUUUCUUAUCUGCAAAUUUCAGUUUUAAUGCUUAAUUUAAUGCCAUGGCAAGCAUACGCUGAUCAAAAUAUCGAUCAUGGUUGCCAUCCAACACUGUAAAGAUUGGCAAAAGAAGUGAAAAACAUCAAUUUCGGCCUCUUUUGGCAUUGUUUCUGGUCAUUUUUCCUCGUUAAAUGCAAGCUCAACAUGAUUGGAUCCAACAGAAUAUGACUUUCUCCAUUCUUGCUACUGGUAUACUUGUGAAGCACCCCACCAGAUGCAGAACGGCGUCAUCUUCACAAAAACAAGGUGAAAAAGAUGUUGGUUCUAGAUUUUUGUUUCUCAUUACCAACAAACUCUAUAGAUGUAUAGAUAACAAGUUAUCUGACAUCCACCAGCGCACUCCAAUCGAUAGAAUUUAUAUUUAUACAAAAAAGCAGACAUAUUAUUAAAAAAAUGAAAAGCAUAAGAGAAUUAUAACAGAGGAAUCAAGAUACUAACUUAUCACAUAUCUCCUUGGGAGAGCAAUUCUCCUCCAUGGCCUUUGUCUCGGUUGCCGUCCCGUACUCAUCCGUUCCGCAUAUAUAUAUUGCAUUAUACCCUCGGAGCCGGCAGUACCGCGCAAACACAUCCGCGCUCAGAACACCUGCACCAAAGCAAACCGCUCUUAUUUGAAUCAACUAAGGUUUCGUUUGAGAUUGCGGGGAGAUUGUGUUACGUGUGGUGAGAAAGUACGAUGAGAAAUACUCUGUUUGUUUCCGUACAUAAUAUUGCGCUCCGCAUAUCGCGAUGAGUCGGCUACGAUAUAUUUUCUACGAUCCCACUAGAGAAUGCAAAAGUAUAUCCAUAUACUUUAACCUCAACUCCAUUUUAUCUAAUAGCGUAAGACGGGACUCAAUACCAAACUAAGCCUAAUACACACAAAAAAAUAAAAUAGAAUAAAAUAAAUGUAUGGAACUUAUCUAAACUAUGACCCUUCUUGAUUCGACAGGCUAACAUCAUUUCAAUAAUUUAUCGUAUAUUUUAUAUUUGAAAUGGCGAGCUUUCAUCAACCAACCAUGCCACUACCACGAUUCUAACCCAUUGUACGGUAAUAUGCCUACUAGCUGGGAAUCUACAAUAAUUCGGCGAUUUCACCGACACAUCUUUCAAUUUUUCAACUACGUCUCGAAUAAAAAAUACGUAGGAUUUCCGAAAUAUUACAAUUGAUGCAUCAUUUACUUCAACAAAAUUAAUAAGAGUAUCUUAGAUGAUAACAUUUUCAUGUAAAAUCAAAUUUUUUACAGAUUAAACAGUCGGAUCAAAAUUGACCAUAAUUUGGAUAAGUCCCGUUACCCUACAUCUCCGCCCAAAAAAUACAAACACAAUCGGAAAACAAAAAAGAGGAAAAUGGGGGAUUGAUUACAUCCGAUGAUGUUGCCGAGGUGGGGGACGUUGUUGACGUAGGGGAGGGCGCUCGUGAUGAGGACGUUGCGGCGCCCCGCCACGGGGAGCGUCGGCGGCGUCGCCUUCGUCGUCGUCGUCGCCGUCGCCGUCGCGGAGUCCCCCAUCUCUCUCCCUCUCUCUCUCUCUCUCUCUCGAUCGAUCGAGCGCUCUCGUGUAGAAAUGGAGCGUGCGGCUGAGGUCCGGAAGAGAGCGGGGAUUUCACCAGCGUUUUCUUUCUUAAACCCUAACAACAGUACUUAGAUUUGGGUAAAAUUGCAUUUCCAGUCCCUCAACUUUUGUUAAACCUUUGUUAAAACCACACAAAAUAGUUUUCUCAUAAAGAAAAAGAAAAAAAAAAAAGUAUUUUUCAAUUCUGUUGGGAUUACAGAAAUAAUAUGCUACGUGCAAUGAGAAAGCAUAGUAAAAAAAAUAAAAAAUUCUCCCACGUAAUUUGCAAUGAUUUUAUCCGAGAGAUCUUAAAAGAUCAAUUUUUUUCUCAUAAAAUUAUUUGUAAAAUGAGAUUUCUCUUGUAUUUUUCUACGUAAUUUCUCAUCAUAUUAUUAUCAUACAACUUCAUGAAAAUAAAAUCCCUCUCAAGCAUUUAUCUGAUGAGUUCAUUUUCAUGAAGUUCAACAUUUCGUCCCAAAACUUUUCAAAUUGUUUCACACAACUCCUUAUGAGAAAAUUUUUAAUUUAAUAUUUGUAUACUAUGAGUUAAUUGAUUCUGUAUCCAUCUCAUAUCUACUAUCUUGAUGCUCAAGUUUUAAACAUAUCAAAGAUUGUGACUCAAUGAAUAUGAUGAUGAAAGAUCACAAUAUGAUAUCUGAUCAUAUCUAAUAUAGGUGGCUAAAAAAUUAAUCGUUGAAUUUUAAGGUUCCAAUUUCAAACCCUAAUUUUUGCACAUUUUUGGCUGAGUUCAUUUCUAAAAAAAUUGAAAUGUAUAAAUGUACGUGAUUUAGACAAUAACUUAAUGACAAAAAUCUCCGAACUAUCCACUCAAACUUACAUCAAUUAGCUUCCUAUACUUUAACACUUUUUUAAGAAAGUGCAAAAAUUUGGAUAAUGAGUGAGUUAGAGUACAAAAGUUCACUAUAAAAAGUUGAUAUGUCUGUCACAUAGUUCAACAUCUAUCUAUUUUGCAAAUUAAAUACAAAUAGUAAAUUACAUAAGCGGGAUCGUCUAUUUUGUUAGUACAAUCAAAGUUGAUAGUUUAUUGAGCAAAGUUAUGAAAUUUUUAUGAUUAUAUUGCUAAUUGUAGCUAAUUUUAUCAGCCAAUUUGCUUUCCAAAGUUUUAUAAUCAAAUUCAACAAUUAUCCUAUUUUGGAAUUGUUUGAAAUAAUGACAAAAUGUGUAAAGUAAUUACCGUGAUUUUUAAUGCAGAGGGUAAUUGAGAUAUGAAAUGUGCAUGAAGGUUUUUUUUGUAAUUUGGCAAAAAAAAAAAACACUAAUGUCCAUACUACUAUAAUUCAAUCACUUUGGAAAAAAUAAAAUAAAAUAGAAUGAAUAUUAUAAGCUAAGAGCUGCAAAUCUACAUCAGCUUCCAUAGUCAUAUAGAACUCCUCUAUCAGCACACUUUUAGCCUUUGCUUUCUCCGAUCAAAUUAAAUAAUUUUCUUUUAAAAAGAAAGGGUUAUCAUACUUUUAAUUCAUUAGUGAAAGGCUUAAAUGGGUUAGCAUUCUAUUGUCUGCGACCACGAAUGACGCAUCUCGCACGGUUUAUCUUAUUUUAAUUUUCCGUGGGGUAUUAUUCAUGAUUCAGAUUAAUAUUUGAUAUAUAUAUGGGUAUCAAGUAUUGUGGAUUUAUGGCUUCCAAUAAAUGCAAGCAUUCAUUGUUAAUUACCCCUAUAAAAUAUUAGGGUACCUUCGAUUAAGAGACCUCUGAAAUACUUAAGGAGAAAUAAACUGGAAUUGAACAAAAAAGAUUUUAUAAUAUAGUUUAUCAUUCAAUUAUAUGGCUUUAACCAAGGGCAAACCCUCAGUGUACAUAAACAAAGCAUAAAAAAAAAAAGUGCUUAAUUUUAUGAUAUGAUGGUCAACUGAACUUAAUUUUGACUGCACCUUGGUUAUAUAUUCCAAGAUGCUCAAAGUAUAUGAUCAAAUUGAUUUUGUUGGGCCCUAUAUGUUUUGGAGCUCAACAUUGUUCACCCUAAGAUGAAGGAUUGAUUAAAUUCCAUGUAUAUGCAUUGGGACUUAAUCGGGUUUGAUUCAAAUUAAACUCUAAUUAGAUGCAUUAGAGUUUGAUUUGGUUAAUUGAACUUUAAUUGUAUGUGAUAAAGUCCAAUAGAAUUUGAUUUGAUAUUCAAUUUAAGCUUUCAUCCUAAAUGUAUGUGUUAGGAUUAGCCCAAAUAUUUUGAAUUAGACUCUAAUUUUAUAUCUUAGAGUCUAGUGUAAUUAGGCUCUAAGCUUAUGUGUUAGAGCUUAAUCAUAUUUACUUUGGGUUCACCAUAAGGUGAAAUGUUAACUAAAUCCUAAUUAUAUAUAUUAGGAUUAGUCAAAUUUAAUUUAAAUUAAACUCUAAGUAUAUGUAUUAGAGUCUAACUUAGCUUCAUUUAUUUGAACUCCAAGUAGAUGUAUUAGAGUCCAAUAAAUUUAAUUUGAUUAGGUGAAACCUAAUCUAUUAUUUUUUACCUUAGUCACAUAUACUAAGAUAAAUAGAUGGUUUGAUCAAUUAUAAACAAAUAUUUUAGAAUCCGAUUUAUUAUGAAUGUGGUAGCAAAUAUGACUCUAGUUUAAUGUGCUAGAGAAUUGGGUUAAGAAGAUUUGUCCUUAACAAAUUGGUAAGGCUUGGUUUCAUAUCCAUGUAGUUUAGAGUGUGAGUUUGAACUAUGGUUCUUUAAGUCUCAUGAAGAUCUAAAUUGGCCUUGAUCUAGUUUGGGCACACUCUUUUUUUUUGGGUUAGGUUUGUAUUCAAACCUGAGCCUGGGCUCAGAGUGGGUUCAUAUAAUUCAAGUUAAGGUUUAAUUUUGCUGUGGGCUCAGGCAUGGACUAAAUUUAGGAUUCGGGCAUGGGCUAAAUUCAGGCCCAUGUAGUAUGGAUUCAGGUUGAGUCGUGAAUGUGGGCUCGGGCUCAAUUUAGGCCCGUAUGGGUUAAGUCCAUGUUUUCUUUAGGCAAGCCAUAGAAUUGGGCCCAGAUUUAUGUUUGGGCUGAACCUGAGUUAUGCUGAGCUUGAGUUAUGUGAUUUGAGGUGAGUACGGGCUUGGUCCAUACGAGACUUUGAAAUGGUUAGUUUGAAAUUAUUUGGGAUUUGUUUGAGAUCAAAAUGUUAACCUAAUUCAUAAUCAAAUUCAAUGCUUAAAAUUUCACAUGCACUUUUUUAAUUUUCAAAUUCUCAGUCAUUAAUAAUGAAAAUUCAACUUAAUUUAAUUUGGAGCAUAGAAUGUCCAAUGCGAUUAAAUCUCGAUUUGUUCUAAUUUGGCCAAAUCGAGAGGUUCGAUUUUGGAUGGAAUUAAGGGGUUCGAUUAUUUUUCGAACAUCCCGUUGUUCUUCUAAUAAAAAGAUGAUCAAAAGAAUAACAAUCAACAAUCCGAUUGAUUUCUUUUGCCUCUUAAUUAUGAGAGAAUUAAGAGAGUAUUUUUCUCUCUUUAUCUCCUUUGAAGGUACAAGACAAUAAAGAUGGAUAAUGCUUCUUUGCCUCUCUAAGUAGAAAAACUCUCUCUCUCUUUUGAUGAUAUUUUUUUUACGAAGAGAAGAGCACCCGCUCUCUCUCUUUUGAUAACACACAUUUUUUUUAAAAAGAAAAGAGCACCGCUCUCUCCCUCUUUUAAUGACAUAUUUUUACAAAGAGAAGAGCACCGCUCUCUCUCUAUACGCAGGUUAAGUUCGCCGUCGAAAAAAAAAUACAUCUUGGGCAUUUCAUCGAACAGUUGGUAGGCGUGGUGCGUUGCGCAACUCCAAUUGCGUUGGAAUCGCAACAGAGAGUUGGAAGUUGCGGCUAUGAUAGAGUCGGUGCAGUGGCAAGGUCGAAGGUGAAGAAAUCGACGAGGUCGUCGGGCGUCAACUCGGGAUGGACGCCGACGUUCCGCAGCAUCCGCAGCAGGUACUCUAACAGCACCACUUCACGCACGAUGAUCACCGCCGACGACAUCCCCUCUCCUCCGUCCGAGCGCUUGAUAAGGACGCGGAAGAGUGGGUGGUCAAUGAGGUCGGAGCUGACCAGGUACCGGCGUCGGGACUUGUCGACAUAGAUUGGGUGCAGCCCGCGCGGCACGACGUCCAAAUGCUCGUCGACGGCGCUGUCGGCUUCGAAUUUUGGCUCCUCCAACCGCUGCUGCCACAUGUUGUCAUCUUCGUUGUGGGGAAUCAAGAAUCCGUAGGCGAUGAGCGAGAUGCAACGGCUGCUGCCGGAGGGGGAGUAGACUUAUAGAAGCCUCUUUUUAAAGAAGCGCUGCUCGUUGCAGACACAGAUCGAACACCUGGUGAGCGGUGACGAGGUUGGCCAUGACGGAGACGAGGCCGGUGUCGAGGGCGCCCCGUAGAAGGCCAACCGCAGCAACGCGAAGAGCCUGGCGGACAUGGCGAACAGCGCUUUUAUUUUAUACACCAUAUUCCUAUUCAAAGUUGGAUUCAAAUUUUCUCUCAUUCUUUCUCUUUUUUUUUUCUUUUUUUUUGUGCUUUAACAUCUAUCUUGUGGUGAGAGGCCAUGUUAGACUGAGUCAUAUUCGAAAUGGCGUAAAUUUGGGUUGGGACAUGUCAUAUUCGAAGUGGCGUGAGGUUAAUUAGAUCAAGUGAUAAUCGAGAUGGUGAACGCUGUGUUUGUACGCUUUAAGUGAAUUGGUUACAUAUUUUUAAUAGCUCGAACUUUUGAUAUUAAUUGUUAACACUAAGAAUUCGAUAAAUAGUAUUGGAGCCUGGAGUCACGAGUUCGAUUCUCGCAUACUGCAAAUUUGUGUGGGUACAAGAAGAGAGAUUGUUGGCUUAAAUGAACCAACAUUCUGCCUUUGUUGUGGGAGAUCAUGUUGGGUGAGUCGUGUUUGAAAUGGCGUAAAGUUGAUUGGGCCAGAGUGAUAAUCGAGACCUAUGAACGCUGUGUCCAUAUGCUUUAAGUGAAUUAGUUCCACAUUUCUAACAGUUCGACCUUUUGGGAUUAACGGUUAGUACCAGCGAUCCAACAAAUGCAUCGAGGGAUGAACCACACUUAUUUUUUAUUUUUUUAAAAAAAAACUAGAUGUGCCAAUUGAACAAUGACAAACUAAAAUAACAAAUAUACAUGUGAUAAGAACUGCACAUUCUAUACAUGUUGCAAAUAAAAAGAUCACAUCUUACUCAUUCGGAUACUAAUUGAGAUGAUCUUUCAUUUCGCAUACUCAAUUUGAUAAGAAAUAAGAGACUUCUUUAGUCCAAGAAGCAAAGCAAUUCACUACCUAAAUUGUUAGCAAGAGAUUUUCGAACAUUUUAAUGUCAUUUAGGGCUUCAAAUCUGGGGUCAAUUUUAGAGUUUUCUUGCAUAGAAACGUUAAAUGUAAUUUCUUUUUAAAAAAAUCUAAGUAAUUUGAUUUUGAGCCUAUAGUUGAAAUUGAUGUGUUUGAGAUGCUUAAUUUAGAUAUCAUGUAAUUAGAAUAAAUUUAUAUGAAAAGUAAAGUUCGAAUUUAAGUGCCGUGGCACGGAGUUGUGCCGGAAACUUGCCGGCAUGGUAAGCACGGUGUGUGCUGAGUCGUGCCGAUGCAUGCCGGUCAAAAAAAUUCUUAUGUGUCGACACAUAAUAGUAUGAAAUAUUUUUUUUCUUUAGCAACAAAAUAUUAUAACUAUUUAUUAUGCCUUUUUAUCACAUCUUUUGAACUUUAUUGAGAAAAUUACUUACUAAUUUAAAAAAUAUAGAGUUUUGAGCUGCGCCAUUGGUACAGAGUCUGUAUCGUGCCUGUAUCUUAUUGGCACCGUACGACACGGUGGAUACGGCCAGUGCCGACGAGCACUUAAAACCUCGGUUCCAAGUUUAUUAAAAUGAAAAAUUAUUCUUUAUGUCAAAGAGUCUUUAUUGGUGCGCUAACUAUUCCAUGAACAUCUCAUUUCUCCUAUUUUUGCUGCAGUAGUAAAGUCAUAAACUCAUAAUAGAGAAAUGAAAAUUUAACGCUGGCAACAUGCUUAACACAUGUAAGUCGUACGGCACGCGGUGUUUCCCGUGGCAGACGGGUGAGUAAUGCGUAAGAACCUGCCCUUGGGAGGGGACAACAACUAGAAACGGUUGCCAAGGAACUCAGCAAAAUAGUCCUGUAACUUUCACCCCAACAUUUAUAAAACUUUUUCAGUUAUACAUUCAAAAAAGUGUGUAUAUCUAAUACCUUUCAUCCCAACAUUUUUAAAACUUUUUUAAAUUUUUUAUAUUCAAAAAAACUUCAAUUUGUAUCCAUGUAUUUAGUGUAUUUUCAGUUUGGCACUUAAUAGUUAGAAGCAUUUCAAUUUGUCAUUCUGUGACUUUAUUUUUAUCUCACUGUUAAAAUAUGCCAUUAAGUAGGAUACUUAAGUAAUAAAUUUAUAAACUACAGAAUAAUAAAUUAAUAUAUUUUCAAGCCACAGGGUGACACAUUGUAGCAUUUUCUACAAUGUAUCACCUUGUAGUUUGUAAAAUAUAACAAUCUAGUACUCUACCUAAUGACAGGCCUUAACAGUUAGAUAAAAGUAACCGAUCGUCCCUAGAGCAAGUGGUAAAGGGCUUGAUGGUUGGCAUCCGAGACCCAAGUUCGAAUCCUAGUUGAUUCACAUUUUCUGCUAAGUUUAUUUCUAAAUGAAAUAAACGAAACGGGUAGCAUGCUACCUAUCUCUCUCAAAAAAAAAAACAAACAAACAAGCAGUUAGAUAAAAGUAAAACCACUGUAUAACAAAGUCAAACACUUCAAAUCACAAAAUACCAAAUUAAAAAUGUGCUAAAUCAUAAGAAGGCAAAUUAAAAUUUUCCUCCCAGAAAAAAAAAACAAGACAAUUAGAGCAAUAUGGGUACUUGGAUGAAAGGGUGCAAAAUUUACUUCUUUUUAGGAUGUACAAUUAGCAUUACUAUCGAAAAAUACAUAAAAUCCAAUCUAUAUAUAAAAAGAUAAAUGUUACUGUACACUCCAACGGAUAGUGUCAAGUGAUUAAUGAUUGACUCUCAUCUAUUAGAUAGAUAGAGCAUAAAACUAGAUUUUCACCCGUGCGAUGCACGGCUAAUAUAAUAAUAUAGAAUAAUAAAAAUUAUUAUGUGAUGAUAACAAAAAGAUUUUCUAAUUAAUUUUAUAUUUUUUAACAAAUAAAAAAAUAUAUUAUCAAUCUUAAUUAUAGUACAUAUUAAAGUACACAAGCUAGAGAAAAAAAAAUUUGGACCAAAGUAAAUAUUUAACUAAAAUGCAAAAUUCAAUCAUACUCUAUUAUCUAUGAAUUGGUGUGCAAAAUAAUUUACAUUUACAUAUUGAUGUGCAAAAUAAAAUGAUAACUAAAAUUGAUAUGAAAAAUUACAAAUGACAUUAAUAUUUAAGCAUAUAAUGAGAUCAACUAAACUUUCAUAUUUGACACAAAUUAGAGUAAGCACACAUAUAUUAUGUUCCUACUGUCACUUUUAAGAUUCAAAAAUAUAUAGAUGUUGGUUUUCAAGAAAAUAUAAAGAAAAAAAACUUUGUUGCAUGAAGAUGAAAAGUUACAGGAGUGACAGUAGGGAAAAAAAUUACGAAAUGAAAAUUACAGAAGUGACAGUAGGGAAAUAAUAUGUUCUAUUUUAAAGCAUCAAUAUUUAAGAGCGAAGGAAAUUACAGGAGUGAUGUGAGUUUUAAAUUUUUGCAUCUUUCCAAAAAUGCCUCUAUCCUUUUUUACUAAUAUUUUUAUGUCCAGAAAUUUUCAACUAAUCAUUUCAAAUAAUUAACUAAGUAAUAAUUUAUUCCCAAAUAAAGAUAAAUAUUUUCUUUCUCACACGUAAUAUCCGCACCACCAAUUCUUUCGCAACAUAAUAUCCAUAAAUUUCUCAAAUAUCUCAACAUAAUUAUAGGUGACUUUGAAAUAAAUUUUUUUUAAAUAAUAUAGUAAAAUAUAUUAAUUUUUUAUAAAAGCGUGAGUUUUGAAUUUUUUCUCUUUCCAAAAAUGUCACUAUCCUUUUUUACUAAUAUUUUUAUGUCCAGAAAUUUUUAACCAAUCAUUUCAAAUAAUUAACUAAGUAGUAAUUUAUUUUCAAAUAAAGAUAAAUAUUUUUUCCUCACGCAUAAUAUCUGCACCGGCCAAUUUUUUUGUCACAUAAUAUCCGUGAAUUUUUAAAAUAUCUCGACAUAAUUAUAUGUGACUUUGAAAUAAAAUCUCCUUUAUUAUAGGUGAUUUUUAAUAAUAUAGUAAAAGAUAUUAUUUCCUUUAAAAAAUUAAUUUUAUUUUUUCUAAAGUAGAAAAUCUGUAUUUGAGUUUGACACGUAGAUUUUCUAUAUAGUAAAAGAUAUUAUUUUCUUAAAAAAAUCUAAUUUUAUUUUCUCUUUGUAUAAAAUUUCAUUCAUUAUAGGUGAUUUUUAAUAAUAUAGUAAAAGAUAUUAUUUUCUUAAAAAAUCUAAUUUUGUUUUUCAUAAAGUAUUAUUUCCUUAAAAAAAAGUCUAAUUUUAUUUUUCCUAAAGUAUUAUUUCCUUAAAAAUCUAAUUUUAUUUUUCCUAAAGUAAAAUAUUUUAGAAAAAAUCUAUUUUUUUUUCUAAAAUAAAAAAUUUAUAUUUGAGCUUAACACGUGGCAAACAUAUAGAGCGCCACGUGUCAGCUUUUCAUAUAGGGUUCAUUAAGGAUUCUACUUUAGUAUAUAGUAAUAAUAAUAGAUAUACACCCACUUUUGAAUGUGUGAAUAGCACCACUGUUAUAAAAAUAAACAACUAUAUAAAAAUUAGGUAAUAACAAAAAAAAAAUCCUUGUUCUCAGUUACAAGUAUAAAAAGGCGCAUUUUGAUUUUCAGACUCAGUACAGAUGACUAAUUUUUGAAAUUGAUAGCAAACACAUUCCACCAAUUUUUCCUUCUCAUUUUGAGGUAAAUGCAUAAAAACAAAAAAAAAAAAGUAAACUUCAAAUAACACCCCUAUGGUUUCAUAUUUUUUCACUUUAGUAUCUUGUGCUUUAAAUUGUGGUUUUAUUUUUAUCUUUUCGUUAGCUUUUCGUUAAUAUUUUGUUAAAUUAUAUACAAAAAUUUUAGAUACUUUAACUAUAUUUAUCAAAUAUUCACUUUAGUAUUUUUUAAUUUUAACUUUGUUACUGAUUUAACGAAAAAAAUUAGUGAAAUCGAUAAUAAAAAGAUAAAUAAAACUACAGGAUACUAAAUUGAUACACUUUAAGUCAUAUAAUACUAAAGUGAGAAAAUAUAAAACCAUAGGGCCACUGGUAUUUGAAAUUUUCCCUAAAGAAAAAAAAAAAACUUGCGGCUCAUGAGUUAGUCCUACUAGGUCAAGCUCAACUUGGUUAGAAGUUAGAACUCACGGUAGCGUCUCAUAGUAGACAAAAAUAUCCCCCAACCCAAGGGUUUUUUUUUAUAAAAUGACCCUUCAAAAAUUUUAAAUUGGCAAAAUAACCCUAUUAAGAUUUUAUUUGGAAAACUAACCCUCCUUUCGCCACAUUGGAUUUUUGCUAUAAGGGCGCUGGAUGAUUCACCGCCUUUAUAGGUGAAUUAUUCACCGUUUAGCUUCAGGACUUUGACAAAUUUUCAUAAAUUUUGGGUAUUUUGCACUAAAGGUGGUGAAUCAUUCACCGCCUUCAUUAUUAUAUAUAUGUGAAGGUGGUGAAUGAUUCAUCGUAUUUAUAGUAAAAAUCUGACGUGGCGCCUACAUGACGAAAGGAGAGUUAUUUUUUCAAAUAAAAUUUUGACAGAAUUACAUCUCCAAUUUUAUAAUUUUGGAGGGUUAUUUUAUAAAAAAAGCCCCCAACCCAACCCCCCGUAAAAAAAAAAAAAAUCAAAAAAUCAAAAAAUCGAAGGAUUCCCAACCAGGCGCGUCGAUGCAAGCCCACCCGCACGCCUGGGCCGCCCCUGCGGGCAGCGCCGUCGCCGGCGCCGGCGGCACGCCGGGGACUUCCAGCUACCACCAGCCGACAACCCUGGAAGAGGUCCGAACCCUCUGGAUCGGCGACCUCCAGUACUGGGUCGACGAGAGCUACCUCCACGGCUGCUUCGCCCACACCGGAGAGGUACCUAGGGUUUCUACCAACGAAAAAUUUUAGCUACUGUUCUAGGGUUUUAGGAUUCUGUGAUUACAGUAGCAGAAGCGGAAGCGAAGAGAGAACAAAAUGGAUUUUGUGAUUGGACAGAUUCCUACACUCUGUUCGGUGCAAAAUCGCGAUCAAGUUGAGUUGUCUUUGCAAUUUUGCGAAUUCAAGUGAAUUGAAUUUGGGCCUGACUUUUUUCGCAUGGACGGAGUGUUACUUAAAUCAUUCGAAAUCUUGGUAAAUCAAGUCAAAUCGUAUUCAAUAAUGUUUCCAACCACAGGAUUAGUGUUGCCACGAAGAACUUCUUUAAUAUGUUUUCCUGCUUCUCCUUGUGAUUAAUCUGAGAUUCUGAGUUUUCUUCCUCAUUUGAGAUUACCCUAUCCCAAAAAUUCUGUAAUUAUUGUGUUGCUGAGUAAGGAUAAAAGCUUCAAAUUUGUUAGUGUUUUUUGGUUAUGUCAUUUUAUGCCUUGAUUUUUUUGCUGUUCGAACUUUCAAGUGAACUAACUUUUCUAUUUUUUAACCUAAAGAGGGAUGUAUCAAUGUCCAUUUAACUGUUUAGGCUUUUAAUUUUCCUUUUCUUUCUUUCUUUAUUAUUUUUUUAUAUUUUAGUAUAACUUGCAGAAAUGACUAAUGUCCCAAAUCAUAUCUAUGAGAUCAUGUCGUCCAGUGCUUGUUCGGUUCGGGGCUGUCUAGUGACCUACAUGGUAUACAGUAUAAUUGUUUAUACAGUUAAACAAGUGAUAAUAAACAUUACAGGGUUGGCUACUGUUAGUAACCACCAAUAAAUAACUACAGCCUUGUGUCAACUUCAAGUUCUUACGAAACCUGCAUGCAACUUACACUGCCAGUGUCGUCCCUUAUUCCCUUGCUAUCGUCAGUGAAAAAUGGACAUCAUUAACACCAUCAAGGAUUUAAGUGCCGUGGGAUAGGAUUGUGCCGAACACUUACUGGUAUGGUACGACACUGUUGGGGCCGUGCCAUGCUGUGCCGAUGUGUGCCAGAUGCAAGAAAAUAUUUGUGUGUUGGCAUACAUUGGCAUGAAAUAUUUAUUUUCUUUGGUACUGGUAUACUCUAAUUGCUGAUAAUAUAUCUUUAUUGAAUCUUUUGCACUUUAUUGAAAUAACUACUUGUUAAUUUCAAAGAAGAGGGUUUGAGUAGUGCUAUGCUAUAUGCACAUGGGUCACAUCGUGCCGAUAUUUUGUUGGAAUGGUAGGCAUGGUGGGCACGGCCUGUGCCGAUGGGUACUUAAAUCCUUGAACACUGUCACCGUUAAUAUCAGCGCUGUCACCUGCAGCCCCUUUUGGCAGACGAAAUUCACCUCUGCUUUGACUGCAUAUGGUGUAUAGAGCCCAUCGCCACUGCUAGCUGCCAAUACCAGAGUUUGGUCAUACAAGAUGUCCCAAACAAAGUUUAUCUUAAUAUUUUGACGAUUUUCUGUUAUCUGUAACCAAACACCUUUGAAAAGUAAACAACUAUUAGCCCAAUAUUUUUACUGUGAAAUAUUACCUGGCAAAUAUUUAACUCGCAUAAACCUGUAUAAAUGUGCCUUUAAAGUAAAACAAAAGUGCAUCCUAAUGCAAGAAUCUCCUACUAAUGAACGGUUUUGGGAGUGGAAUGUGUGUACAGCCUUAUUACUGUAAUUAUAACGGAUAUUGUGUGGUUAUCUAUUUGUUGUUUUGUAAGGAAAAAAGAGAAUUUACAUUAAUACCUUCCCACUGUUUAUUAUGCUUUUUUUGUUUGUAGUUUCAAACCUUAUCCUGUUGAAGAGUUUGUGACACUACGUCUGACCUCAGAAGUAAAAAUUUUCAUGUCUUCCUUUUGCAUGCCAUGCUUGUAGAACUUCUUUUACAAUGCAUACCUUGGCUGCACCUUUAUAUGCAAGUGCAACCAUUGAGAUUAACCUUGUAAUUUCUUUCAUACACAGGUAGUGUCAGUAAAGAUCAUUCGUAACAAGAUAACGGGGCUUCCGGAAGGCUAUGGCUUUAUAGAAUUUGUCUCUCAUGAAGCUGCAGAAAGAAUUUUGCAGACAUAUAAUGGGCUACAGAUGCCUGGAACAGAGCAGACUUUUAGGCUGAAUUGGGCCUCUUUUGGUAUGGGCGAAAGACGUGGUGAUCCUGCGGCUGAUCAUUCUAUUUUUGUAGGGGAUUUAGCACCUGAUGUGACAGAUUACAUGUUACAAGAAACCUUUCGGACCCAUUAUUCUUCAGUCAGAGGGGCGAAGGUUGUGACUGAUCCAAAUACAGGACGUUCAAAGGGAUAUGGUUUUGUUAAAUUUGCUGAUGAGGCAGAGAAGAAUCGUGCAAUGACUGAGAUGAAUGGUGUUUAUUGCUCAACUAGGCCUAUGCGGAUUAGUGCGGCCACACCGAAGAAAACAACUGGGGUUCAGAUACAGUAUCCAGCUGCUAGAGGUAAUGUUUAUAUAGUGACAAGGAAUUGUAUUAAUACUACAUUUCUUUGCAAUUUGCAACAUAUCACUUGUUUGCAAUUAGUUACACUAUAAGGCAGUGGAUUUUUAUCAAGAAAGGAAGAGGCAUUGUGGAAGCAAAGAAGGUUGAAGAAAUGAUAAAAGAACCUGAAAUGGUUCUGUUCCAUGUAACUAUAUAAUAGCAUAAGAAUCUUGAUAUUUUAAGCUAAAUUUUUAAUAAAAGAUUUAGGCAAAAUUACAUACUUACCCCUCCCUCGACCUAUAAUUUUUAGUCUGCAGAUGAAUUCCAAAAUGUGAGACUGCAAAAGGUACCGUUUUAAACAGUCAUACAUUCAUAAUUUUCUUUGUGAUAACAAUAUGUCCGAGUUCCUUUUAAGUACCCAUUUUGCUCUCGAUAAUUUUUGCCAAGUGCUCUUAGGCAGGUUGUUGGAGGCAAUCGUACUGAUUUUGAUAUCCUGUCUCAAGAUAUAGUUGAGCUUCAUAAAAUUGUUAGUCUUGCCAGAUUAGUCCUAACAUUUUUUUUGUGCGAAGGAUGGAGGUAAUGAUAGUUUCAGAUUCGUUGAAGAGAUGAAAAGAAAAGGGAAGCCCAAAAAGUAAACUUCUCAAUGGUUUUCGGUUUCUGAUCAAAUUCCCUAUUCGAAACUCAUCAAUAACUCAAUUUUAGGUCCUAUGUAAUUAGGAUUACUCCCUUUUCUUCUUCUUUUUGACAGAUCUGAUGACCAUCAUUGCCUCCAUCCUUCCUGUCCAACUACCAUGGAGUCAACAUAGACUGCUUUGGCUUUUGCCACCAUCAGAUCUCAAUAGGAUUCCUUGUGAAGCCAUGUUAACAUAGACCUUUUUGGCUUUUGCCACCAUCGGAUCUCAAUAGAAUACUGUUCAUUGUGAAGCCAUGUUAACAUAGACCAUUUUUGGUUUGUGCCACUAUCAGAUCUCAAUAGGAUACUGUUCUUUGUGAAGCCAUUAGCUCUGUUAGGCCAAUAUCUUGAGGCCCUCUACAGUCAUGCCACGACUUAGGAGUCAUGCUAGUGGUGAUCAGUUAUUGGCACGAGUCGCACGACUGACACAGCUGGCGCCGACCAUCCUUGGUAACACUCUAGAAUCUAACUACGCUACUAAAUAUUGAUUGAAAGAAAUAGUUUUGUCUGCCAAAAAGAAUUCUUUGAACUGCCUAGAUUUGUUAGGUAUGGUGAAGGGUUAAAGCAAUGUGGACAAUGUCCACAAUGCCACAUGUAGAAAAAAGCUGAAUGCACGAGGCAAAGUGAUCUCCCAUACAGCAUGGUCUAUAAGAGUUGAGUCAUGAAAAAACGACUUCACAUUAGAUAUUUCUGUUUUUUGUUUUUCUUAUGUCAGUCACACAACCAGUCUUGUACAUACUAAAAAUCCUGUCAGCUACGCUGGAGUUUCUGUAGAAGUGCUCUUUGGCUGAAACUAUUAAAAAAGAACACUAACCACUUCCUCAAAAUACCUACAUGUAGUAUCCCCCUGCAGCAAAAGCAAAAGCCUCAAACUUGAACAUCUCAUUUAGGAUCCAAAUGCUCAUUUUAGCUUUCCAUCAUACUAAAAGGUCUUGAAUUUUCAUUUCCUAAACACUGGUUUCGGAAAGUAUCUUCUUUCUGAAGCAGAAAAGUUGCUAUAGAAUAUGGCCUUAAGAAGCAAGGGUAGGUUCAUCUGUGAAUGGAUUUACAUUUCCAUGUUUCUUGAAGCUUAUAUUUUGAUCAUUUUCAUGCUUAUAGCCUGUAGUUAGUUUUCUAAGCAGGAGUACAUAAUUUUACACCUUAUUACCUCUGUCUAGAAGAAUUUACAAGCUGAUGUUUUCUAAUUCAAUGAGCAGCAAUUUAUCCUGCGCCAGCUUAUACAACGCCUCAGCUUGCCCCAGUUCUGCCAGACCCUGACGUAAUGAAUACAACUGUAUGUUCAUACAUAUCUUGUUUUGUCAUGCAUGUUUUUUCUUUAUUAUUGAUCUGUCUAUUUUGUAUUUCAUUGCAGAUAUUUAUUGGCAAUUUGGACCCUAAUAUCACGGAGGAAGAGUUGAAGCAGAUUUGUGCGCAGUUUGGGGAGCUUGUCUAUGCUAAGAUCCCAGCUGGAAAAGGAUGUGGUUUCGUGCAGUUUGUCUCAAGGUUAGUUGGAAUUCAAAGCGAGAGACCUUUUCUUUUUGCUUGGGUUUAACUUAUUUUACAUUAUACGCAAAAGCUUAAGCUAAUAGAGAACGGUAUUUUUAUAUUUUAACAUUCAAAACUCCCCUCACGUUUGGGCUCGAGACUUUUUGAUAGGUUUAUGACGUGGACUUGAAUUAAAUGGGAGGAAAAAAAUUAUCCUAGGAGCCUGACGUGACUUCAACUCAGGACCUUUUGCUUUGAUACCAUGUUAAAUUAUACGAAAUAACCGUUAUUCUCCAAAAUCUUAAGCUUGUAGAGAAUGGUAUUUUUUAUAUUUUUGCGUUUAACACUUAUAAAAGAGCAUAAUAAUAUGCUUUUGCUGCUAUCUGUGGGUAGUUUCUCUGAAGACUGAACAUGUAUAUAUGAAACAAGAUUUAUGGGACUUUUAAUGUCCUCCAGGGACUUGACAUAUGUAAUUGUGCAAAAUUAUCUAAUACAGCUCUAUGAAAUCUGAAUUUCCUUAUAAGCUCUUCAAAAUGUUUUCUUACGUAUACUCUCUCGUGCUUCUUUUGGAAAAUCUUUUCUAAUGCAAAACCAUCCUCCUCCCAUGAAUUGAAUCAUUCCUCAAUCCUCACGAGUGCAACUUAAGAUAAUAGAUUCUUGUAAGAAUCUGUGUUGUAAGGGGUAUAGAUAUGCAAAUUUAGAUUAUACAGUGGUAUAUGUAAGUGAACGAUUUUGCAGGGGUAUUUAUGUAAAACUCCAUUCUUUUAUUCUUCAUUCAUACAUCAUAGCAUUCUUGUACCUGCCUUUUAUUUAUAAACCCAAUAACUUUCUAAGCUCAUUUGGUGGGGCACGAGGCUUUCCUGUGAUUUCUAUCCAACCUCAAAAAAUAUAUUGUUUUAACCAUUUAGAAAACAUUGGACUUCCUGUUCUUGUUUAUGGCUUGAGUGCCAUGGAUUGUAUCUAGCAAAAUGCUUACUCUUUUUUUAUUCUGUCAAUGUCUCCCAAGAUUAGGCAACUAAUGGUUGGUAGAUAAUCUGUUUCAAUUUUGAGAAGGUGCAUGCUUUAUGGUUUGUGAACUUCAUGUGUGUUACCUUAACAGGGCAUCUGCUGAAGAAGCUGUACAAAGGCUUCAUGGCACGAUGAUUGGUCAACAAAUUGUGAGGCUUUCAUGGGGUCGAAGCCCAGCAAAUAAGCAGGUACUUGCUUUGGGCUUUAGAAUAAACUACUGCAAUUCUAAUAGAUCAAAAAGACUUCUUGCAAUUACAUUUGCAAUUUCACUGUCCACUUUUCUUGUUACCAAUACAUGGUGGUACAAAUUGCAUUGAUGCUAUUCUACCUGUUGUUAACUUCAUCUUUUAUUUUGUAGUUUCACUAAUAUUUAAUGUAUGCCCUUGCGGUUCUCUAAACUUUGUAGGACUCCCCUACUAUAGGAAUCUUCAAAAUUCACUCAUAGAUUAUUUUGUUCAUGUUUUGUUGUUAUUAAAUAGAUUUCUUCGAUAUUCCUAUUAUUGUGCUCCAUUCUAUUUCGUCAACCUUUUUCACACAUGAAAAAUUAACAUAUUGCUGUUUUCUUAGCAUCUUUAUCUAGAUUUGCAGCUUAGGGCCGGUGUCAUCAUUUUUGGUGCUUAAUUUCAUGUUUGGCAGCAAGUUUGUGAAACUCCAUCCCCUAGGAAAGCAUUUUACUACUUCAGCAUUUCGGCCUGCACUCUGUGUUUGACUACCAUUAUGGUAGAACUUCAACCUAAUUUGCCAUGGGGUCAACCAAGUGCAAUAUUGCAUUUGACUGAAUCACAAAAGUUUUAUGUCUUAAUCAGUAACGUUUGAGAAAUGAUAUUGAAAUCUGCUCAAGGCAACGCGAUAUAUGAUAAGGUGGGGGUCUUAUGUUUUGAUCGGUUGGAUGGAUCUUUAUUUGGGGUCUUGAAGGAAAUAUAGGGUCUAAACUUAACCUAAUGACUAGAAAAAUGUUGAAAAUAAGGAAAUAGGGAUGCACAAUGGACCAUUAGUGGUACUAAUGAGAUAAGGACUUCAUAACGUGAAAAGGAAAAGGCGGAAUAUUAACUCAGAGGCAUGAUGAAGUAUUGAUGGGGUGAAAGCAAUGUCAGUUGCAAACAGGUUGGGUUUGUAUGCUGAGAUGGAUUAGGUUGGAUUAAGAGUUUGAAAGGUUAAGAUUUGUUGGUGGAAGUUCUGGAUUUAAGGUGUCAGUUGUGGCCUUAUGGGUUUUGUAAAUAUAUGAAUUGAGAAAAACAGAAAGGGUGUGUAGUGGUUUGUUUUCAGCACCAGUGUGUUGCCUAGGAGGUGUGGGUUCCCAUGGUUGCAUUAGUAGAUAGGACUGUUGUGUGGAAAAGGUUCAUUAUGGGGAAGUUUCGGAGCUUGAGUAAUAAAGUCAUUAGGGUUGUGAUUUUGCGAACAAGAGUUAUUGUGGGACGCAGGUAGAGAGAAAUUCCAUUAGGUCACAUGCAGGUGAGAUAUGUUGGUAUCUUCCUUUUAUCAGGGGAGAUAUGUUAUACGUAACUACAUACCUGCAAAAUUUUCUGUUUCCAUCUUCAAGUGUUGAACAUAAUGCUGAACAGUGUUGUCGACAGUAUAGACCAUCAAUAUAGAUGAUGCCCUAACAUUUAUUCUCCAAAUACCAUCCAUCAAGCCUUCACUGUUCUUAUAAAGUUACUCUAUAAAUACAUAUCCAUGAAAUCAUCUGUUUUGACUUGUACCCUUGUGAAAUCUGUAUUUUGUUGCAUACCACUUGGAACGUCAGUUUUUUCUUGUCUGAAUACCCUUAUUUUAAUUUGGGGAGUUUUCAAAUUCAGUAUGAAAUCUUGCCUUUCAAGGAAUGGCAUUCUUACAAGUACUACAACUGUACAAGGGAAUAUGCAAGAAUUAAGUUUUCAGGGUUGCAUAUUUAUAUGAAAAUUUAAAUUUCUUGCGAUCUAAGCUGGGUUUAUAUAUGUAAAGUUCUCUUGUUAUGAUAUAUCUCAAAUCCUUUGUUUUUUUUUUUCCCUUUUUUUGGUGGGGUUUGGGGGGGUACAGAAAACCUGUAGAGAUGUUUAGAUAAAUUCUGAAACUUCAAUGAAAUUUUAUGUGUCUGUCUCAUUCUGUUAUUAACUGUAUUGCAGGAUGCAUCUGCAGCAUGGGGUCAGCAAACUGAUCCUAGCCAGUGGGCUGCUUACUACGGCUAUGGGUAUGAUGCAUAUGCAUACGGGGUAGCGCAAGAUCCAUCAUAUGCUUAUGGUGCUUAUGCUGGAUAUGGGCAAUAUCCUCAGCAGGCAAGGAUAAAAUACUAGAAUUUAAAUGUGCAUCUUCUUUCUAGGACAUUUUUUACAUCCAACAUAUAACAUUUUAUUUUUAUCAUUACUCUCUACUUGAGGAUUUUUAUUCAGAGUCAACUUUACCGUGAAUGCUAUUUCGGCACUCACUUGAUCCGUACUAAUUAUCAAAAACAUCAAAUUUAGCUACAAUAAGUGGAUGCACAAUCUGACUAAGAACCCUCAUGCACAAUCUGAACAACACCACUACUACUGAUGAGCCAUCACUUUUUUGCCAUCGGUGAGCCACCCUUACCGUUUGAGUCACCAUCACUACCGUCGUCACUGCAAGCACCAUCAGUGUCGGUAAAUCACCGCAAUGGGGACUAACACACUGGUCUGAUCAAUCAGACAGCCGUUGUCAUCAACUUCCCAGAUCAAUCACUGCACAUCCACAGCCAUUGUCAUCAACUUUCCUUGUGAACUGCCACUUCUACCAUUGCCUCCAUCACCAUUACCGCCGACAAUUGUUUUUCAAAAAGGGUAAAUUAGGAAAUGUACGCCUUGGAAAGUUAAGUGCAAUCUUAUACGCAACAACAAAGACAAUUGGUCAGAAUUUCAUUGCACAUCAUCCCAAACUAGCGGACUCGUCUCCAAAAUCCAGUUCGCCUCAAUCCUUUGAAACUUCAUAUUGAUCCAAUUUCAUCAGAAUGGGAUUAAAACAGAUAGGAGAAUCUCAGCAGAAAAUAACUUUGAAAUGCUUGACAUAGCUUACAUCAAAUCUGUGCUCCUCAUAACUAUGCGAAAUAAAAACGCAUCAUAGGGUUCACAUAUUACCUGUUGCGAGUGUCAGAUGCAAUUCCGGUCAAGCAAAUUACAUACUUCAGGAACCGGAUGAACAGGCUAUAAUUAUCUUCUCUACAUGGUUUAAUGAAGUACUUCCUUUUCCUAUUGUAGAAAGAAAACCUUUGUAAAUAUGCUGAAUGUUUUUCUCUCGAUGGCUGUGUAACGAAUAAACUACUUUUCCUCUUCAUGUUAUACUCCUUGUUAGGUCGAAGGAGCACCAGAAAUGACAUCUAUAGUUGGUUCUUUUCCGAGCGUGGAGCAGAAGGAAGAAACAUACGAUCCAUUGGCGAUACCCGAUGUGGACAAGUAUGUUCUCCUCACGAACAUUUGCCGCCUCUUGUUAAUCACCUUGUCUCUACCGUGCCUGAUAUAGUUUCUUUUUCUCCAAAACUUUUCUAGGUUAAACAGUGCGUAUCUUGCUGUUCAUGGAAAUACGAUGUUCGGGAGGCCCUUAUGGUUGAAGACCUCUUCAUUGUCGCAAUUAGCUUGAGUAACUGGCUUUUUACCUUUUAGGAGUGCUUUUAGUGCAGAGAAUCCCACUCAAGAGCUUAUGGCUAGUUGUGAUAAUCCGCUGUUUUUAGCAUACACUAAGCCUGUUUGAUUGAUUAUAAACUCUGAUUUCUGUGUUAUUCGCUCCGGAAAAAGAGAAAAAUAAGUGUGCGAGUUUUAUCCGUGCUCUGUGGGUGCAUUUUCAUUGUCAGCUCUUUCCUGAUUGAGUUGGAAAGCCGAGGGUUGUAUUGAUAGGCAAAUAUAGCAAAUACUACUGGAACUUGAAGCGUAUUAGCUGUGCAGAGUGCUGUUUCAGUGAACCAGUGGUACUGGGCUACUAGUCAUUUUUUAGUUGUCUUUGUUUAACCCAAAAUUUGAUCAAAUUUUGCCCGCUCUCUCUCGGUGGAUCCGUAAGUCCAUGCGGCACACAUCAUACGCCCUCGAUUCUCAUCUCAUGCUUCAAUUCCUAUCAUCUGUUGGUUCGCCUGCAACCAAAUUCCUCGCAGAAACUUAACUGGUGCUUUCAAGACAUCAUCGUAUCACUGAACUGCUUUGCAUGAAAAUUUAUAUUAAUUUCCUUAGUUUCAAUCAUGUUGCUCAGAGUCGAGAGUCAACAAAUAAAGCUAAAAUUGUACAGAGGCCCCUCAAUGAAAUGAAUCUUUUGCUACGUUAAUAAAGUAAAAAACUUACAACUAAGCUAAUUUGUUUUUUUUUAUGUCCAAGGUAAUUAAGAUGUUAUCUAUAAAAGUGCGAGAGAAUUUUAAGCCUAAGAAUUUGUUGGAUCCUUACGCAAGCCAUUAAUAAAUGUGGUGUUGUUCUACGUUUAUGGGGGAAGCAUGUGAACUUUGGACGCACGUGAGAGUGAAAAAUGCUGAGAGGUGGGUCUUAAAAAGAAGGAAAGGAGAGCUUGUGCUCCUGCAACUGCACACAGCCGUUGAGUUCUUGAUCCGUGCCCGUGCACCCGUAACGUACGGGAAUCACAUGCAUGUGAAUGGAAUUCUCUCUCUCUCUCUCUCUCUCUAUCCACACACACACACAAAAAAAAGGCAUUUUUUUGCAUUUGGGCCCUCAAAAUAUUUUUUUUCACAAAUAGCCUCAUCAAAUUUAUAAUUACAAAUUUAGCCCUAUCUCUGCCACGCAGGCGCCGUAUCAGCGCCACGAUUUUAAGUUGAACAUGGUGAAUCAUUCAUCGUGUUCCAUAUUUAUAUUUUCUUUUCUUAUAUUUUCUUUAUAUUUUUUCCAAAUACAUAUAUUUAUAUUUUUCCAAAAUAUGGUGAACCAUUCACCGUGUUCAGCUUAACAAGCCGGCUCCUGCCCUGCUCACGUGGCGCUGACGUGGCAUGGUUAGGGCCAUUUUUGCAAAUAUAAAUUUACUGAGCCUAUUUUUAAAAUAAAUUUUUUUUAGGAGGCCAAAUGCAAAAAAAGCCAAAAAAAAGAAAAAAACACAUGUGAAUGGAAUUAGUUUGGUGGAAAACGAAGGUAAAGAUAAAAAGAAAAGCUAAAUUGCACUCUGGUUACUCAAACCAAGAACUCAAGUGUCGUGGCAUGGGAUUGUGCCGGAAACUUGCCGGUAUGUAUUGCACAGUGAGUGUCGGGCCAUACCGAUACGAUCACAAAAAUGACACACAUAAUGACAUAAAAUAUUUAUUUAAUUUCUUUGACAACAAAAUAUUCUGAUGAUUUGUUAUAUUUUUUUAUCAAAUCUUUUCAACUUUAUUGAAAAAAUUACUUACUAAUUUAAAGAAUAGACAGUUUUAAACCGUGCCAUUGACACGGAGGCUGUAUCGUGUUGAUAUCUUGUUAGUGCGAUACAGCACGGUGGAUACGGCCCGUGCCGUAAUGUUUUGACCUUCAAAUUUUAAUUUAUUAUAAUUUCUGGUCCAAACUUUUUACGUUAUUACAGUUAGGUCUACAAUGUAAUUUUGUUGGCUAAUAAUAAUAAUAAUAAUGUGUUAUUGAUGUGACAAUUUGGGACUAAUGCAAAAUUUUUUUAUUAAGAAGGGCCAAAAAAAUAUAGUACAAAAAUUAGGUCGCAUCUAAUAUCAAUUUUUUUAAAAAAAGAAACAAAGUCAAACUCAAAUCCUUGAAUGGUUUUGUAGUUGACAAUUAUUUCUGCAAUUUAUGUAACUAAAUUUUUUGUUCGACAAUAAAAAUAAAAUCUAUGUAGAAACUUUAUGUUUGCAUCUUUAUUUUUUUUUAAAUGAUGUUUCGCGUUAGAUCAAGAUACACUGCAAUUUAACCAACAACUAAAUCCUGAGAAAAUUUUCCACUAAAACUUUCAAAUAUGUAGAAUUUUAUUUACAAAAUAAAAGUUGCAGGUGAUACCAAACAAAAUCAGUAGGCCAACCGCAUAAUUUGAAUUUUAUUUUAGGAGGGCUAAUUUUAAUUUCUAUUAAAUUGAGAAAAAAUUAUAUAUAUAGUAAAAUAUUAGAAAUGUAUGGAGACCCUCUCAACUAUAGCCAGUUUGAAAUAGCCUCCUGAUUUAUAAUUUUUUUUAUUGAGAUUAAUUUUUUUGGAGCUUGUAGCAAAUAAAACUAAAUUAAUUAACUGCUGAUGACUAAUUAAGUAUUCCAUUUUUUUAAAAAAAAGUUAAUUAACAAGUCAUAAAACCAAAUUAAAAAUUUUGAAGGUUAAAGAGGUAUCAAUUUUAAAAAAAAAAGGUAAACUUCAAAUACCACCCCUGUCGCCAUUUUCUCGCUUUAGUACCAUGUGAUUUAAAAUAUAUCAAUGAAGUACUCUGUGGUUUCUUUUUUUUUUUUUUUUUUUUUUUUUCGUCAGCUCCUUCAUUAACAUUUUACUAAAUUAUAUACAAAGACUUCCAUACCCUCACCGAGGUAUUCACCUAGUAAUUUUUAUUUUUAACUUUAUCACUGAUUUAAUAAAAAAAAAAAGGGAGGAAAUAAUAAAAAGAGAAAAACAAAACCACAGGAUACAAAAGUGAUAUAUUUUAAACCACAUGGCACAAAGUAAAAAAUGCGAAACCAUAAGGGUGUUUUUUUUUUUUUUUUUUUUUUUUUUUUUUUUUUGUUUUGUCAAAAUGACAUAUAGUUGAGGAGGUAGCUUACAUUUUUACCAUGUAAAAAUCAUCAUACUUUACUGGAAAGAAAGGAUGAUUAUGAAGCUUCCUAAAACAUAAACAACUUUAGUAGAGAAUAGAGAUGAGAUGUGUUUUUGCUCAAAACCCCUAUAUAAUUGGUUUUUUUAUAAAAACCUAAAAAGAAAAAAGCGAAGUUCUUCUUUGUAAUUUUUAAGAAGCAAGGGGGUCAUGGCUCCUGUAGGUCUUUUAUUCACACAUUAUCAAUAACUAGUGUAGUUAUCCGCACGAUGCAGCGGACAAAUAUUAUCGAAGCGACUUUUUUAUUAUUGUUGAUCAUCAAUGAUAGUUUGAAAUUGUACAUAUAUUAAAAACAAAAAACAGUGAGGAAAUGAAGAAAGAAAAAAAAGAAAAAGAAAAAAAGAGAGGCGUAAAAUAAAGGAAUGACAAAAUAAUUUAAAUAAAAUUAUUAGCCAAAUUAAUAAUUCAAUUAAUUUAAAUAAAAUUAGCCAUGUAUGUUAUAAAAUUUUCAUAUAUAAACUUUAAUAUGAUUUAAAUUGUAUUUGUUGAAUUAGAUUUUAAUUGUAUAAUAGAAAAUUUUUUAAAAUUAUUCAGUGUAUAUAUAAAAUUGUAAAUUGGAGUAAGCAAUUAUUUAUAACAUACAUGCAAAUCCUUUAAAAAAACAUCUCAUUCUAUAAACAAAUCCUAUAAAAAAAAAUAUUUUCUAUCUGCUUAUUGUUUAACAAUUUUACAUACAUUUAAAUAAGGGUUAUUUGCAUACACAUCCCUCCAAACAUAAUAAAUUGCGGAUAUAUCCCUGCAAAUUGGAAACUCCAUAAGUUAUCCCUACAAAAGUCCUAAGUUAUGCAGAUAUGUCCCUACCGUCCAGAUCUGUUAGAAAAUUUUUGUUAACUACGGUUAAAAUACUUAACCAUGGUUAAUUAUAGUGUGAAUUGACGUAUUUACCCUUCUUCCUCUUCUUCCUCUUCCUUCUACUUCGUCGCCGGCGAGGAGAUAUGGCGGCGACGGUGGAGAACCCUCUUCCUCUUCUCCCUUUUUCUCCCUUUUUUCUUCUUCCUUCUUCCUUCUUCCUCUUCCCUCUUUUUCGUCACCGGCGAGGGAGAAGAAUCUCGUCAGGGUCGGUCUCAGAGGAAAGGCGGGCGAGUUUCUGGACGAGAAGCUCGAGGGCGUUGUUGUCGACGAGGGCGGCGACGAGGGCGUGUGCGGGGUCGUCGUGGUCACCGAGGACGUCGGCGUCGGUGAGGUCGGUGAGGAGGGAGAUGACGUCGCCGGCGAUGUCGGCGAUGUCGUGGUCGAGGAGGCCGACGAGGGAGGGGACGGCGUUGAGGGCGACGAGCUCCGGGUAGAGCUCCGGUGCUCGGCGUUCUUCCCUCUUCUUCGUCGCCGGCGAACCUGACCCCGCGCCGCCGCCGCCGUCGUCUGCUUCGACGGUCCGAAAAGGAAAAGAAAGAGAAGGGGAAGAGGAAAACUUUUGGAGGGAUAUAUUUGUGAGGAUAAAAUGGUCAUUUCACGACUUCGCUGUUAAAAAACAAACAGCUCACUAACAGAUGUUAACUGCAGGGACAUAUCUGCAUAAAUUGGGACUUUUGCAGGGACAACUUAUGGAGUUUCGAUUUUGCAGGGAUAUAUCCGCAAUUGGCUAUGUUUGCAGGGAGCUGUAUGCAUUUGACCCUUUAAAUAACUAUAAAAGAAAUUGAAAAAAGCUAAUAGAUAGGGUAGUUUUAAAAAAAAAAUAUUAAAGAAAAAGUAAAAUACAAAAAAUUCCUGAUUACUUGAUUAUCACCAUAUAUAUAUAUACUAUCAAUAAUAAGUUGAUUAUAUAUCCAUACUAUCAAUAGUAAGUUGAUUAUAUAUCCAUAUACUCUCUUCCACUUCUGUCGUUGUUACCGCCGCCGCCGCAUCCAAGAUCUUCAUCUUCUACCACCACUGCCAUCCCCACCAAAUACACGACGGGAUCUACGGAUUCUAUGGACUUGACGCGAUACGACAGUGAUGAAAGCAAGCGACUUUUACGGGAGAGGGAGAGGAUGAAAGAGAUUUAGCAAGAGUUGAAGAACGAAGAGAUUAAUGGAAACAUUGGGGGAAGAAAAAAUUAAUUAUUAAUUAAAUACAAUAAUAAAGAGAGAGAAGUGGGGUUAUUGGAAGGUAAAGAGGUGAGCGUUAAAGAAGAGAAGAAGAGUUAGAACUUUUGGGAGAAAAAAUUAAUUUUGAAUUAAUUACAAUAAUAAUAAAAAGACAGAAGGUGAUGCUAUUGGAAGGUAAAGAGUUAGACGUUAAAGAAGAUGAGAAAGAAAUAAUUAAAUUAUUUAAAAAAAUGAAAAAAUGAGAGCUUGCCAUAUCAUCAUUUGAUAUUGGGAAUUCAUAUAAGAGUAUAGAUAAUAAUAAUAAUACUAUAUCAUUGUCACAUCAAAGUUUUAUGACUACUUAAUUAACUAAAUGGGAAAACUUCAAAAACCUCCCCUGUGGUUUCGUAGUUUCUCACUUUGCCCCCCCUGUGGUUUAAAAUGUAUCAAUUUGGCCCCCCGUGGUUUCUUUUUUCUCUUUUUCUUAUUAAUUUUAUUAUUAUUUUUUAAAUCAGUGAUAAAGUUAAAAUUAAAGGGUACUAAAAUGAAUAUUUGAUAAAUCUAGAUGGGUAUCUGAAGUUUUUUGUAUAUAAUUUAAUAAAAUAUUAACGAAAAAGUUACCGAAAAGAUAAAAACGAAACCACAGGGGAGCAAUUUGAUACAUUUUAAACCACAGGGGGGCAAAAUGAGAAACUACGAAACCACAGUAGGGUUUUUGAAGUUUUCCCCUAACUAAAUUGCAUUGUUGGACAUAACUGCAACAGCUAGAAAGUUAAGCCAAAAAUUAUAAGAAAUUAAAGUGAGGCCACUAAAAUGUACGAGACUCAUAGUUUGAGGACCAAUAGCGCAAUUUAGCCUACACACGAGCAAUUUUAUUUGCACAUCCAAAAAUAAGGUGUAAGAUUUGCACCCAUUUUAAGUUGUUGAGUUAGCAUUUUUCUUUUCCAAAUAAAAGUUGCUAAAUAAUUAUGAUUUCCUUUGAUCAAACAAUUCAAUCUUUACAUAUUUUGAGUUUUGUAUCCAGUUUUUAACUUGUUAAAUUUAAGUAUGAUUUUUCUAGCACAAAAUUUAGACCCAUUAUUUGCUUGAAUUUAAUUAAUUGUUGCCACCACAUAAAUUGUGCAAAAUAUGCUAAUCAAACUUAUAAAAAUAAAUUAAUAAUUAAUCUAAAUCCUUAAAUAGAAGAGUCGGUAAAUGAUUCAGAUCAAAUGAAUUAAAUUUUGGGUAAAUUUCAAAUACCACCCCUGUGGUUUCACACUUUCUCACUUUAGUACCCUGUGGUUUAAAGUGUAUCAAUUUAAUACCUUAUGAUUUCAUUUUUCUCUUUUCAUCGUCUCCUCCGUUAACAUUUCUUUAAAUUAUAUACAAAAAAUUUUAGAUACCCCACCUAAAUUUAUCGAAUAGUUACUUUAGUAUCCUUUAGUUUUAACUUUGUCACUGAUUUAACGAAAAAAAUUAGUAGAGAAAAUAAAAAAAAAAAUCAUGAGUUAUUAAAUUGAUAUACUUUAAACCACAUAAUAUUAAAAUAAAAAAAUACAAAACUACAGGGAACGAUAUUUGAAGUUUUUCUUUAAAUGUUUACAUAGGGCAAAUGGUUAGAUAGCAAAGUUAAACUUUUAAAAUUAGACAUACGUCAAAUCAAGUGGGGAUAUAAUUUAAGUUUCAUAUAUUUUUACCCAACUAAUUAAAGAACCUAUAUAUGUACAUAAUACCUAUUAAAUAAAAGAAAAAAAAUUAAUAUGUUGAGAGUUUAUGUAUUAAUAGCCUCACAACGAAUAAUUAAUAAAAAUAAUUAAGUGUCACUAUAUAAAAAAUAAUUAAGUGUCACUAUAUAUGUCAUAUUUUUUUUACUUUCGUAAAUAAAUUUUGUGAAUAUAACGGAUUCGCGGAGAGGAGUCGAAAGUGACUCCAUGGGUUUGGAUUGGGCCAAAACUCCCACUUUAAUGAUAAUAAAAUUUCCUAAGUUAAUUAACUUUGAUUUAAUGAUAGUUUCCUAAGUUAAUUAACUUUGAUAUGGCCUAUAGAGAGGUAAAGGGGUCUCUGUACAUUUUUAUCAAGCUCAUUUGAACACUCUGAUACACAAUGCUUUAAAAAUCGAAUCGAAUGGCGGCCAAAAUAUUACUGAAUCAAGGAUCACUGGUUAAACCGAUGACUUUAACAUAACGUCACAAGUAUUUAGUUAUAUUUUGUGAUUUUAUUAUAAAAAUAUAUAUAUAAGUAUUUCUAAUAUCCCAAUUGAUUGUAAAAUAACUUAUCUAUAGAUUAAAUUAAGUGAAUUUAAUUUUUAUGUUUUACUUUUUAAGAGAGUAAUCUGUGCUAAUUGAAAAGCAAAAUCAGCUAAGUUAAUUUUAAGUCGUCGGAUUUUAAUAUAACUAGAUCAGAAAAAUCCAGCCGAUUUAUUUAAGCUAGGACCGGUUCACUGGAUCGAUAUAUAGUUGAAUUGUCGGUUCUAACAAUUUGAAACAAUUUCUUGACUUAUUCGAUUUUAAAGGACUGAAUCGAAUCAUUUUAUAGACUAGAUUACGGUUAGACUCAUCGAAUCUGCAGAUUCUACACAAGUUUUUAAAUCAUUGACAAUAUAAUUACAAAAUUCUCUUCAUACAUAAAAAAUGCACACAUUUGAAGCACAAAUCACCUACGUGUAUAGAGUUCGGCUGGGAUACUAUCGAUAGCAUGAAACGUUUGGUGCUAUCAAAUUUUUCGUCGUUAGAUUUAAUCCUUUGACUAUUUUUAUCUGUUAGAUUAUACUAUUAAACUAAUAUAAGACUCAUUCAACCCUAAUGAGCCCAUAUUAUGUUAACCGUAUAUUUUCUUAUCAAAAAAUCAAAAAUCUAAUAGCAUUAAUAACUUAAUAUUAUUGAUAGUAUUCUGGCCGGACUAUAUACAUAUACAAGCCCUCGAAUCAAAUUAAGAAUUGAGAAUUUCCGACCUCGGGAUGCCUAACGGUCACAUGCGUUCAAAGAGCAAAAGAGCAAAACCCCAACCGUGAUCACAUUUAAACCACACUCGACACCACUCCACCCCCUCACACUUCAUAUCCCGCGCCCUCCCCACCCUCAACACAACACAACACAACACAGCACAACACAUACAUGCACACACUCUCACUCACUUAAAACUCCCAUGCACACACAUUCCCCUCCCCUCCCCCUACUACUUACUCCUUCCUCCUCUUCCUCCUCCAAAAAUCGAUAAUAUAUAAAUACCAAUUAAUCAGCAAUGGAUAAUGGCAACAGCAGCAGCAACAACAACAACAAUAGUAAUAGUAGCAGCAGCAGCAAUUCGAUGUUGCGGAAGCUGUCGACGGGGGUGGUCGGGGCGCUGCACCGGCCGUGGAAGAAGGGGCCGGCGCGGGGGAAGGGCGGGCCGCAGAACGCGGCGUGCGAGUACCGCGGGGUGCGGCAGCGGACAUGGGGGAAGUGGGUGGCGGAGAUCCGGGAGCCGCGCAAGCGCACGCGCAUCUGGCUCGGGUCCUUCGCCACCGCCGAGGAGGCCGCGCUCGCCUACGACGAGGCCGCGCGCCGCCUCUACGGCCCCGACGCCUUCCUCAACCUCCCCCACCUCCGUGCCGCCCACCCUGCCGACUUCGCCCCCCGCCCCGCCCAGCGCUUCCGCUUCUUCCCCAACUCCCGGAGCUGCGCCGCCCUCGUCCCGCCCUGCGGCCUCCUCAACCUCAACGCGCAGCACAACGUCAACACCAUCUACCAGAAGCUCCAGGAGCUCAAGAACAACCCCAACAGCUCUCCCAUCCAUCCCCCUCCUCCUCUUCCUCCUCCUAUUACCGCCGCUACCGCAGUUACCGCCGCCACCGCUGCUGCUGCUGCUGCUACUACAACGAGCCUCUCUGCUUCUUCUAACUUCACACCGCCGUCGAACAACGACGGCGACGACGCGCAAAUUGCGAGUGGCGGCGAGGGAGAGAGGCCGCAGAUCGAUCUCCGGGAGUUUCUGCAGCAGCUGGGCGUGAUCGGGGCGGAGGGCGAGGAGAGAGCUGGACUGAGCAGCGGCACGGCGCAGCCGUCGGGGACGGCAGUAGAGAGCGGCGGCGGCAGCGGCGGCAUGGAUUCGGAGAUGGCGUUGGGCGGUGCGGAUGUUGCUGAUGAAGAGAGCGGCGGGUUUAAUUGGGACGCUCUGGAGGAGAUGCGAGCUUUGGAGGAUUUGUAUCAUGAUCACCCGGCCGUUCUUAUGCGUGAGGAGAGCGGCCACGAGAUGUUGCAGGUUGAUGACAUGCAUGAGGAGCUCAGCUUGCUGCCCAUCUCCAUUUGGGAUCUUUGAUAAUAAUAUAAAAAAAUUGAGGAAUUUUAUUUGUACUGUCUCAUAAGAGUAUAGAUCUUACACUCUAUUUCAUGAUUCAGAAAUACUCAAAUAUUUUUUAGUAAAAAUAAAAAAAAGCUAAUAUGAUAAGCAGAGAAUUAAUAGUUUUUUGGAUGGAGUAGAUGUAAGAUAUACAUUUUAGUUUGGGGGUGUACCGAUAGUAUUGCCUAUAUAAUUUUUGUGGGAAUUUUUAGACUUGCAAUCAAAUUUCAUGAUACAAUUUAAUUGCUUGCUGAAUUUUAACAUCUUAUCAUUUCUUUCUCGUCAAUCAUAAUAUUAGUACAAUCACUGUGGUAUCAAUAAAUAUAUACCAUUUGAUGGAAUAAUAUACACGGUGGAACUUAAUUGCAAUAAUCAAUUAUUUUUUUUUUUUUUUUUUUUUUUUUUUUUACCGACCGUCCGUAGCGCAAGUGGCAAAACGACUUGGUGGUUGGUAUCUGAGACCCAAGUUCGAAUCCUUGAUAAUUCAUGUUUUCUAGCCAAGUUUAUUUCUAAAUAAAAUAAACGAAUCUGGUAGCAUGCUAUCUUUCUCUCUAAAAAAAAAAAACAAUCUAUAAAUUUUUAAGUAAAAAUCAAAGUUUGGAACCAAAGUAUCUGGCGCCUAACAUGCUCUAUCGAAAUGGAUAAACAGCCAAUUUUUUUUUUAAAUGGAAUCAAUUAAUAAGGUUAAUUUUCUGAUACUCUUCCAUCUACCCCUAAUUUCAUAGAUAACCCUUAAAAAUUUUCAAAAUAAAUGAAGGCCCUUUAAUUUUAUGAAACUAUCUAAAUUAUCUUUACUAUUUAACUCUAUUUAAAAUUUGGCAGUUUGCCCAUUUCGCGAUGGAGCAUGUUGGAGUCGAAAGGGUUUAAGGUUUUAGAAUUGAAAGGGUUUAGGAUUUUCCAGUUUUAGGGUUUAAUGUUUUUAGAGUUUCAAGAUUUUAGGGGUUUUAGGAUAUUUAGGGUUCUAGGGUUUAGGAUAUUUACAAUUUUAUUUUUUUUUUAACUGUUUAGGUUUUAGGGUUUAGUAGCACGGGCAUGAAAAUUUAAUUAGUGAGUGCGCAUAAAAUAAUUUCUUAUUCUUUCAUGGUAGCCAAAAUAUUAAUGAUUAUUAACUAAAAGAGGCAAAAUAAUCAUGUUAUGUUUUAAGUCAAGUAAAAUUUUUUAUUAAUAUGUAUUAACUAAAAAUUUUUUGACUUUCUUAUUUACCACUCAUAAAAAACUAAUAUUAAAAACACCUUUUUAGUCUUUCAUAGAUAUUACUAGAGAGUUAAAUUUUGUUAUUGAUUAAAAGAGGCAAAAUAAUCGUGUUAUGUUUUAACUCAAGUAAAAUUUUUUAUUAAUAUGUAUUAACUAAAAAUUUUUGACUUUCUUAUUUACCACUCAUAGAAAACUAAUAUUAAAAACACCUUUUUAGUCUUUCAUAGAUACCCGUAAAAAGUUAAAUUACGUUAUUGAACGGUUAAUAACAACCGUUAUUUCUGUGAAAUCAUAAUUUUGUCCUUUCAAAUAUACUCUUCUACGGUGGCGAAUUUUUUUUUAUUUGCCUUUACGUUAAGGGCAAAAAGUGUAUUACCCUUAAGUUAGAAAUAAAAUAGGUAUUUUUUAUUAUUUUUUAACUAUAGUUGAAAUUUAACUAAAGUUUAACCUGAGAUGAUUUAAUGGACACUAAUAGAAGGGUUUUUUUUUUUUUUUUUUUUUUUUUUUUUUUUUGCUUGUUUAAUUGUGCUACUUUCUGUUUUUUUAUUUUUAAUUAAGUAGCACACUAUCCGCUUCGUUUAUUUCAUUUAGAAAUAAACUUAGCUAGAAAUGUGAAUCAACUAGAAUUCGAAUUGGGUACCAACCACAAAGCCCUUUGCCACUUGCUCUAGGGACAGUCGGUGGGGUAUUUUUGAAUAGCAGAAAAAUAUAUGAGAGAAAUAUUUGAAAAAAAAAUAAAAAAAAAAUAUUUUAGAGAUUUUGAAGAGUAUAUAGGAUUUAUUCAGACUAGGGUUCUCUCCUUGGGAACAGGAUUUAUUCGGACUAGGGUUCUCGGAUUUGGAGAGGAAGUCGACAAAGGCUUAGUUUGGUGUUGAGUUCUAUCUAAUGCUAUUAGAUAAAAUGAAGUUGAGAUAAAAGUAUAUAGGAAUAUACUUCUGCGGUACUUCCGAUUUGCAUUAGCAUAAAUCCGGAUCCGCACCAAUACACUCCAGUUUGGCCCAAGCCCAAUCGUGAGCUCAGCAGCAAGCAACAAGCACGAGGAACCCACACUCCAGUCGAGAGGUCCAUUUACCAUAUUAAUAUUUUUUUACAGUUUAAUCUUAUACAUCUUUCAAUUUACAGCACAGUAUAGUAUAUAAUAUAGAUAAGUACGUAUAAGGCUGACAAUCUUUAUACGUAUCAGUGGAUUGCCCAUAAAUUUACAGAUAUAAAUAUUAGUUUAUCUCGCCCAAAAAAUAUGAGUAAAAUAAAUAGGUACCCAUUAAGUUGUAAAUAUUUUGGGCAGUCCGCAUAUACCGACAGAUACCCGCAUAUUUUUUUUAAUUAAAAAGUGUAUAAUUUUUAUCAUAUUGACUCUAUAAUUAUUGAAAUUUUUAUUAAUUUUAUAUCAUUUAAAUUUGGAAUGAUAAAAUUCUUUUAUACUAUAUAAUUUAUAUAUUUUAAAAUUUUACAUUAUUUAUAAUAUGUUAUGAUAUUUCAAACAAUAAAAAUUAUUUAUAUGUAUUUUGUAUUUAAAAAGUAUAGAAAUAAAAAAAAAAUCUUGCAGAUAGCGGCGCAUAUAGGGAUGUCAAUGGGUAUGGAUACCCGAGAUUUUAUCCGAAUCCGAACCCGAAUGAAACGAAUAUAUCCGAUGGAUAUGGAUAUGGAUUCGGAUAUGGAUAUAAAAAAUAGAAACCCGACGGAUAUAAUUUCGGAUAUGGAUUUUGAUUAUAUCCGACCCGAACCCGAACCCGACCCGAACCCGAAUUUAUUUUGUAUUAUAUAUAUAUAUAUAUAUAUAAAUUUAAUGUUAUAUUUGAAUUUAUAUUUUAAAAAUUUAGAAUUAAUAUAAUAUAUUUUGAAAUAUUGAAAAAAAAAUAAUUGUUUCGGGUUCGGGUUCGGGUUUCGGAUUUUUGGUCGGGUUCGGAUUUGGAUAUAGAUUUUUAAAAUUUGUCGAGUUUGGGUUCAGAUUCGGGUUCGGCUUGGAGUGGGUCGGCGUUCGGUAUUUUUAAAAAUCUGUCCCGAAUCCGAGCCGUUGACGUCUCUAGGCGCAUACCCAUCUUCUGUCGAUCGGUGGACGGAUAUAUGAGUAAUAAUGUUGACUACUAUACUAUAUAUUCAAAAAUUGAUGAAUACAUUUUAUUCAUGUCUAUAUAUAUACGAUUGGCAGGUAUAAUGAUCCAGCAACGCCCUAAACCGUUUGUUUGGUCUAUACAAGGCUGAAUGUAAUUAGAAGGGAAUUAUGAGAAAAUGAAAUAGAUCGUCUGUUCCUCUUCUCCUUCCUUCUCAUCUUGCGGAUAGGGCAACUUCGUGUGGGGGGUGUUACAGCUUGCUGCCCUAAUCAAUAAUCAAUUCCUCGGACAGCUGACAAGAAAGAAAGCAAUUGAUGAUGGCGUCUCUGGGGUCGCUGAAAUCCUCCAUCUUCGACAAAGAGGAGAAAAAGCAGUAAGCCUCCAUUCCUUCCAUUCUUUCUUUCUUUUUUUUCUUUUUUUUUUUUUUCCUUUUUUCUUUUCCUCUCCCCGCAAUCGUGCAUAAUUUGUUCGCGUGGUGGACGCAGGCAAUACCAAUCGCACGUCAGAGGGCUCAAUGCUUACGACCGCCACAAGAAAUUCAUGAAGGAUUACGGUUCUCUCUUCUCUGCUUUUGCUUUAUUUGCUCUACUUAUUUAUCAGCAUAUUGUCCCGUUGCUUUUGCGUAGCAUACAUACAAUCUUAGAUGUUGAAUUAAUGAUAGGGUAAACUUCAAUUUACCCUACCGCCGCACUCUCACUUUGCCACGGUGUGGCUUAAAAAGUUACACUUAACUAUCCUGUGGUUAAGCGCGUUUUCACUUUGCGACCCCGUGGUUCAAAAAAUUGCACUAAACUGUGCUGUGGUUUUGUUUGUGUUUCUACCCUCAAAUAGGGUAACAAAGUGAGAUAUUGAAAAAACCAAGGACGGUACCUUGUUUAACGAUAGAUCUUUAUAGUGAAACAAGAAUAAAACCACAGAGUAGUUAAGAAUGACUUUUUGAAUCGCAGGGUGGCAAAGUGAAAAUGCGCUAAACGACGGGGGGCAGAUUGAAGUUUACCGUGAAUAAUGAAAAGUAUUGUUGAUUAGCGCAUGUUGUAAGGCAGAAUGAAAAGUUGGUCUAGAUCCUUUAAUUUACUACACACUGGACAUUGAAACUUUGCCGCAUAGGACGAAAUGAUGAAUGGAAGGAUUUUAGAUUGGAUACUUAGAAGUGAUGUUUGUUUCAUAUGAAUAAGUUCAAAUGGGAUGAGAGUAGUGAUUUCGAUGUUGAAGUUGCAAUUGUGGCGUGCCUGAUUGGUGAGUAAGAGAAGAGAAAUUUCUAUGCAGUUUUGGUUGCAUAGAUGUGAUUAAAGAAAAAAGCAGAAAAAAGAAGAUGCUAUGUUUAGUCGGAGAAAGAAGGAUGGAUGUUUUACAACGGACAACUUGAUUACAAGUUUGAACAGAAUGAAAUCUAUUAGAAGAUUAGAGUUACCAUGAAAGGUUGGUGUUUAGCAGAAGAUGAGGCGACAGAGAAGUUCAGCUUCUAAUCUCUGAAGAAGAUUUCUGUUAAGUUUGUUACGAAGAGUAAGGAAUCAAUAAGCUUAUACUUUUAAGUUCUAUUCCUUCUAAAUCCAUUUUUCAUAAUAUUCUUAUGUGGGAUGCUAGAGGUCGCUUGCCUUGAUAAUGAUGUUUGAGGAUGCAUUUCUCUAGACUGCUUUCCUGAAUGACGGUUUUGCGAAGAAGCUGUUUUAGGCAUUGGCUUGAGUGUUGUCUUUAAGUGUUCUUGCAGAUAUAGAACCGCCAUUCGGGAUGAGAGUCUUAGAGUUUGUUUUCUUCGAAUAUGCUUUCAGGUUCAGUGGUAAUUUUGGGUACAUUAUUUAUGUCCAACAAGGCUAUAUACAGAUAUUUUGGGAAUUAAUAUUCGAAUAAAGAUAGUUUAGGAAAUCAAAUAACACAAGAUCUAGCUCCCCAGUCCCCACGCAGCUACUUUUUUUUUUUUUCCUGAUUUUGAACUAGAUAGAUUGUUUAACUCCACUUAAACCUUUAACGCGUAAAAUUAAAUAGCAGUCCAACUUGGGUUCAAUUAACAAGAUUGGCUUCCAACUUGGUAUUGGCAUCAUAGAAAUGGGUCAAGGUGAAGAUUCAAAAACCAAUAUGAAGAUUCAGAAGUAGUAAGAGCUGCAUGUUAUUUGGAAAUGAAAACUAGGAUGAGUGCUGACUAGCUGCUAUAUGGUAGUGCAAGCUGAGAUGUCUUUCGGUUUUUUGCGUUAUAAACAACGGGGUUAUUGGUUAGAGAAGUGAGACAACAGUUUAGAAUCCACAUAAAUACAUGAACUUAAAGAAAACCGGAGUCGCAAUGAAUACUAAAGUACUUGGUACCAGUUUUUAAAUGCAUUAGCCUAUUUGAGUAUAAUGUUUCUCAUAUACAGCUGAAUUAUCACUCUCAUGGAUAAUUUUCAUUAUAUACAACUUUUUGUAAUUUUCAUUCAGCAUCUCGGUAACUGGUUUGUUAAAAAUCAAUUUAAUAGCAAUUAUGAAUUGAACUUGUACUUCUCCAAUCAGCAUGUUUGACUUACACAUCAAUUUUCCCAACUUUCUGGUAUAAUCUUCAUAAUUGCCUACAUAAGACUAGUUUUUCUUAUGCACAUUUCUAUUCACAACCUUCACUCUAGUUGUUUUGCACACAGUGUUUAAAAAAGCCCAAGGCGCACCUAGGCGCAAAGGCCUGUUGGAGCCUAGGCGCAAGGCGCAGGCGCGCGCCCGAGAGAGGUCAUGCGCACACUUUCAUAAAAUUUUGAAAUAAGUAAAUAAUCAAGUAAAAUGCUGUUUUUUCAAAUGUUAAAAUGCUGUUUUAUUUUCAAGUAAAAUGCUGUUUUUUUUAAAAAUAAAACAGAAAAUUUCUACUUCAAAAAAAAGCAUAGAAAGCACUGCUUUUAAAAAAAAAAAAGAAAUAUACACAAAAAACUUAAAGAGAAACUAGAGAGAGGCCAAGGGAGAGACAAAAAACCUUGGAAGAAGAGGCGAGCGAGUUGAAGAAGCAAGGAGGAAGUGCCGGAAGCAAGGACAGCCGGAGAGGGAGUGCCGGGGAGGGAGAGAUGGCCGAGCGGGUGAGCGGACAGGGAGAGGGGCAAGCGGACAGGGAGAGGGGAAUUGAGAGAUAAUUGAUGAUUAUUUAGGGUUUAGUUUAGGGUAUUGGGCUUAUUUUAGAUAUUUCAACCCGUUAGACCAAUAAAAUCUGGAUCCAAAUCCGUUACUAUAAAUAUUGCCUAGGCGUGCCUUGAGGGUGCCUUGCGCCUAGUCCCAGGCGCGCGCCUAGGCUGCCUAGGCGCCCGCCUGAGUCAUGGCGCUUGCCUAGAGCUGCUCUAGGUGCUGGCCUGUGCGCCUAGAGCCUAGGCGCCUAGGCGCUGCGCCUAGGCGCCCUUUUUGCUUUUUUAAACAGUGUUUGCACAAUAGCUACCUUUAGAUUGUAACUCAAGGGAGUCCACUUCAUGGAUUUUUUGUUAGCUCGACUAUCUGAUGUUUGUUUCAUUCUAUUUUUACAUGCUAUAUGGCCAUGUUAUGUGUCAUAUAUUAGGAAAACUUGGGGUAAUAUUUGGAGAGAGAGGUGAAAAAUGGACGCUCAGGAACCUUGCAUAUAAUUAGUAAUUUAUUUGCUGUAUCCUGGUGUCGUAAAGGAAAUAGAUGAUGAACAGUCCCCUUUGCUAUAGAAAUAGAUCGGGGGCUACAAUCAUCUGUACACUUGAUCUUUAUUUACUGGGCAAAUGUAUGGAUAGUCCCUAUCUUAUACGAAUACUGCAAAUCUCAUUGGUGCACUUUUCAGUUAAAUAUUUAAACUUCAUGCAUUGAACGUUCAUUUACGUUGCACUAUAGCCCCCGACUGUCAAAAAGAUCUAAGUUAUCUUACAAAAUGAUCUUUUAUCCCUUCUUCUAUAAAAUAACUCACUUUUUUUUACUAAUUCAGGCGGGGUUUAAUAAGCCUUUGACAGCAAAAAGUCAAAAGAUGUGAGUUUUUCAGGGACAAGUUUUCAAGUGAAAUGUAUUAGGAUAAAAUCGCAAUAUUGGGAUAGUACAAGGUUUGCACCAGAAUACUCCUAAGAGUAUCUGUACUCCACUGCUGUCAAAUCCUUUUUGAUGAUAGAAUAUCCGAAUUGAUGGCUGGCACUGUUGAAGGCAAUCUAGACGUCUGAACGUUCUAGGGACAAUUGUGUUAUUUUGCGAAAUGCCCCUGUUUGUUCACAUAUGCCUGUUUGUUUAUUUAUGCAAGAAUGUUCUUGCUGUGAGGUCUGCUACCUAUAUAUGCCACCCUUAUAUACUCACAAAUUCAAUAUACGGGUACAUGCAUUCUUAUUUGUUAUACAACAAGCACUAAACUGUGUAUUUAACUUAAUGCAUCAUUUGCUAUGUAUUUGAUUAAACGAUGGGGGUUACUGAUUAAUAAAUAUUUGUUUUAAAUUUUUAAUAUCUAUUCCAUGGUGUUUAUAUCCCGUGCCUUUGCUGUUUUCCCAUGUUUCUUGGCCGAUCAUUGUGAAAUUGGACUAUUCCUUUGAGGGUACAAAUAGAAAUUUGCACUCAGGUAGCAGUUCAUGUGAAAGAAAAUCUUGGUUCUUUUUGUAAAUUUUAGGACAAUGUUAUCUGACCAUUUUUGCCAUCAAUAUUCUGAUUGAAAGUAUUGUUCUUGAUACAAAUUUACUAAGAGGAUUUUCCUUGUUUUUGUACAACUAACUAUGGAUGUGAGAGGAACUUUUUAUUUUUUUAUCUUCAUCGAGAAGAUCUAUUUGUUAGAUAUUGUUAGGGUAAAUUGCACUGCUAGUCCACAAACUUUGACCAAGUUUCACUUUUGUCCUCAAGCUUUUAAGUCCGAUAUUUGAUACUCGCAACUCUUGGAAGUGUUUCAUCUUAGGCCUUUUCCCUUUUUUCUGCUAGAGGGAAAAUGCUCGACUGCACCCUGUGCAUCUUUACAUUCAUGCAACUUGAACCUAUCGACCCUGGAUCUUUCAUCUCAUAUUUCGAUCCUACCGCCCAUUUUGUCGUAGUCUUUCUAGUGUUUAGAAGUUGGACUGUUGGAUUAAAAGUAUGAGAUGGAUGAAGGGCUGAUGAAUUAGUUGUGUGCAUAGAGGUACGGAUGAGUUGGAUGCAUUCGCUAUUUUUUUUUCCCCCAUGUUAAUGGCUGAAGUGAAAAAAAAUCUGAUAGUUUGGAAUCUUGAAUGUCGAACUUAAAGUUCAAGGAUCAAAAUGAAACUUAACGAAAAGUACUGGGAUUACUAGUGCAAAUUAGUUAACUCUAUUAUUGUUAUACAGCCUGUAUAUAUUAGUGCUAUAUUAUAUUUAUAUGUGAUACAUAUCUUACAGUUCAAUAUUAUGGAAGAGCCAAGAAAACUUGUGGUGAUUUGCCAAUCAAAACUGAUCAAGACACUCUUAGAGAAGGCUAUCGGUAUGUUGUAUUAACUGCCACUAUUUCUUUUUUCAUUGCUUUUAAGUGAAUAAUAGUGCUGUACUAUUUGCUAAUGUCCAUUAGAUAAGGUGAAAGCUCUCCUGGUUGAUACCUUUGAAUAUUCUUUAUCGUUUAAAUUUGCUGUCUAUGCAAUUAGUAAUUUCUCAGAUUAUUUCUGUAGGAUCCUUCAAGUUGCAUAUGGAUAGCAUGUAAAAACACCCUAUAGGAUUAUUAUACAAGAUGUAGAAACACCGAAUAGGUUGAAUGUUACUCGAUCAUACAUGAUGUAGGGCUUGUCAUGCGAUGUGGUUUUCUGGCAGAGAUGGAAAAGCUAACUGAAGUAUAUAUUAUUUCUGAUAUUUUGGGUCAUAAAACUCAAGGGUCGUUGAAUUGUGGAUGCAUGCUUGUUUGUGCUUAUCUUCAUGAAGUUUAUGAUAGUAGAUUGCUUAAAUGUGCUCAACAUUUAAGAAUUAAGCUAUACUUGCAUGCCGCUUGUGCAGUCAAUCGAUCACAUACACACAUGCAGAUGCAUAUAUGAGUAUAUGGCUAUCUAGACCUUUUAAACAGAAUAGAAAAAUAACUUCUUACAUUCUUUUACGAUUUGUUAUAUUGAAUAUACAUUCAACAAACUAUGGGUAUGCCAUAAUGUUUUAGUUCAUGAUGGAUAGAUGGUGAGCACAUGACGGUCAUGUGACCAGGGAGUAAGGAGAUAGUUGACACACGAUGGGCACGUGCCCGUGGAGUGCCCGCUCAGAAACAUGUCCUUUCGAACAUGACACAUACCAACAUUUUUGAAGUGUCCAUGUUUCCUCCAUAGUUAUACUUUGCAUUAAUGCCAUUUUUCUGUUUUUCUCCCCUCCUCUUUUCUGGUUGCUUUUGAAUAUCACAAUUUUCUUCAGUUCUUAAACAAAAAAUUUCUAGUUUUAUUUGGAAUUUCCUAACAUGGUUAUUUCUCGUUGUGAGAAAAGGUUCAUUCUAUCGGAAGAAGAUGAGAUGGAUUCUACCUGGGAGAAAAAGCUGGUCAAACGUUACUAUGACAAGCUUUUCAAAGAGUAUCCUUUGUAAAGAUUUUGUAAUCUGAACUGCUAUCCUGAGUUGUUUAAUUGUUGAUGAUAUUUGUUCUGAUGAUUUUGGUCCUGUGGUCCAUGUUUAUAGUAGUUGACAUUUAAUAUAGCAAUUCUUUUUAACUCUGCAAUUCUUUUGCAUGGAAAAAUUCUGUUACUGACAAAAAGCUGAUAAUAGUGUGAUAGUGAAAUCAAGAGAUGCAUUUCACAACAAGGAUUUAAAUACCGUGGUACGGGAUCGUGCUGAAUACUUGCCGGCAUGGUACGGCAUAGUGCGUGCUGGGCGUGUCAUUGUGUGCUGGUCACAAAAAAAAACAUGUGUACUGACACAUAAUAGUAUGAAAUAUUUAUUUCCUUUAGCGACAAAAUAUUCUAAUUACUUAUUAGUUAUUAUGUAUCUUUAUCAAAUCUUUUGAACUUUAUUGAUAAAAUUACUUACUAAUUUAAAGAAUAGGGUUUAAACUGUGCCUUCAGCAUAGGAACUGUAUUGUGCCAAUAUCUUGUUGGCAAGAUACGGCUCGAUAGAUAUGGCCCGUGCCGAUGGGCACUUAAAUCCUUGCUUCACAAGGUCACCAAGUGUAGGAUAUAUUCUUUAUGCACAUAGGAUCGUCAUAGCUACAUGUAAUCUUGAAUUGUCGUGGCAUAUGCCAGUUAGCGCGUUGUAGGAUGAAAAAUGCUGGCUAUUUUGUUCUUCUCUAAAUGUUUUUUUGCUGUGUGUAGUUACAUAUGUUGGUAUCUUCUAUGGAGGGUGAAUGUGCCAGGAUGAGUAGACACAAGUCACACAACACCUUAGAAUUUUGUUUUAUAAUAGCUCUUUCAUAGUACUUAUUCUAUUAACAACAAAAUUUUUUAUGUCGUGUACUUUACAACUGAUAUAUUGUAAAUUAUAUUGUCCUAAGGGUUCUUAGAAAUCAAGAAGUGAUGUUUCUUUACUCUUUGGAAACCCUAACUUGUGAAAGAUAUUGCAUUGCUGACAUGUCACAGUACAAAAAAGGCAAGGUAUGUUAUAGCUAGCUAGGCAUGAAGUUCAAUAAGUUUCUUUAGCUCUUACCUACUCUGCAGUAGUUCUGAAUUUUUAAUACAGUUAACUGUGCAUAAUACUUUACAUACUUUAGAAUUUUAACAUUGUUGUUUCUUCUUUUGGUUUUCUGUGCUGAAGCUUGUACACUUGUUUUCUUGUGCUUUUUCCAUCUGGUUGUGGUAUUACUCAGUUGUUUACAUGGUUCUUGGUUGGUUCGAGGGAGGAAGUUUUGGAGGGGAGGGUGGCGAGGGGGAUUGGUGCUGUGGUUUGUUUUGGUGGGGAGGGGGUGGGGGGGUCACAAGGUGUGGAAAGAUUGAGGUAGAAUGGAACAAUUGAAGGACAAGAAUUGGUGGUGCUGGCAAGUGCAAUGGUGGAGAUGCUGGUAGUUGUUAUUUUGGAAGUAGAAGGGGUAGUUUGCUUCUAUAUUAUUGUAGUUAAAAGAGGAAGUAGUGCUUCUGUAUGUUUGUAGUUAAAAGAGGAAGUAGUACAUCUCAUGUUCAUGUUCUUACGUUGUCUGUCUGAGCUGUAUUAUUUAUGUGCUUUAGGUGACAUGCAUAGCAAAUGGGGUUUUGAAGGCCUGUUCACCAUUUUCUGAAAUCCAUGAAUAAGUUUAAUCUUGAUCAUAUAGCUUCGGUUGCAUUGUUAGGUGAAAAAAUCUUAUUUCUUCAAAAGUGACUUCACUCAAUUGGCACAACAGUCAUGAGUCACAUCUUGAUAGUUAAUGUGUUGUAGCUUGCUGAAAUUUCGCAUAAGAUUAGUAUCUUGUUGAAGAACAUAGCCUGUAGAUGAACACCUGUCUUUGUCUGAUCAAGCCACUCUCUCUCUCUCUCUCUCUCUCUCUCUCUAUAUAUAUAUAUAUAUAUAUAUAUAUAUGUACAGAUUGCAUUCUUCUGAGGUUCUAUGAACCACUAAAAAAAAUAUACGAGGAGAUGGUUUAAUCAAUGUUUGCUUUUCAUCAAGGGUUAAACCUACUACGGCUAGUUACAGCAUUGCUAUACUGGGUAAUGGGUAACAUGGCAACCCUUGUUUUCUCUUAUUAAAAUGAAAGAGAUGAAAUUAAAGGUUAAAUUGAGCAUAAAUUUACCUGUAAUUCAUUUGAAUAAUGGGAUUUAAUGGUGAAGGUUUAUGUUAGGUAAAUUUAUUUGUGUAAUUUAUACUUGUAGUUUGUAAUGCCAAAAGCCAAGGAUUUUUUCGUUGAAAAUACUGGCGAAUAAAUAAUUCAUCCGUGGAAUCACACUUGCAUUUGCAUGUUGAAACUAAAUCCUAUCAAUUUCUUCAAUAAAACCAACUAACCUCUUUGAGAAAUGCCUGUUAGAUAUGCUGUUUUCAUGAAGUGUUUAAGUGCUGUGAGCCUAUGACCUGCUGGUAAAAUGCUGUUAAAAAGUGUAUUUACUUCAGUUUUUAGGGUUGUAAAGUAAUUUUAGGCUAUGUGGCAGGUGGUUUUCUGAAACUUUUUCCUAUUCUAGAAUCUACAGACAUUUGAUUGUCAUGUACUCACUUUUGACAGUGUUUUAAUGUUUGAUCCUUACUGCAAACCAUAAUAUUAACCAUCGGGCUGCAAGAACUUGGCUUUAUCCACAUGGUGAUAAACUUCUACUUGGUUAUACUAUAGGCAAGUUUUUUCGAAGCUUUCCCUGUAAUCGUGUUAGUUUGGGAACUCAUUUUUCAAAAUAAUUGUACUUGGUUGCAAUUUAAAAGAACUCUAGAAAGUUUGAUUAUAUAGUAAUGUACAAUGUGUAGAUCUUUUAACUUGCCCUUCUAAGCUUCAUUUGUUCACUGAUGUAAAUCAUCCUAUCCAUCUAAUCAAUCCCCGCUUGUUUGUUACCCCUUUCUCCCUGUCUGCAAGAAAAUGUCCUUAUUGAAUUUUGUUUUUAAUCAUUGAAGAAAUGAAAGGCAUGGAUUAAAGAAAAUUCCUAGACAAAAAGGGAUUCUACCUUUUAGGAAAGUAUUUUUGUUCAUAUAUAGAGCAGUUUUUGAAUAACGAGUGUUAUGGCUCUUUGAAAAAAAAUAUAUAUAUUUAGAAACUAUUAGAUUAUUCCAUCAAACUUUAACCCUAUGCCAUGGAGUGCUUAUCACGAGGCAUUGUCAUGCCGUGCCAUAUUGCAGCACAUAAAAUGCCAAUCACUAAUUAGCAUGGGGUUGCUGCAAGUUAUUGGCAUGGGGUUUCUGCCGUUGCAAGGAAAUCGUUGUUACAGCAGUAGGAAAAUUUAUUGCAGCUUCUACUAAUUAAUUGGUUGUGCAUGUUUCAUAUAUCAAUCGUUUAUUACUUUAUUAGUUGUGUAUUGAUAUUUAGGUUUGCUUCAACACAUUUUUAUUAUUGAACAUUUGCUGUAUACUCUGUUUUGUAUUAUAUUUCUUUGUAGCUGCCUUUUUCUCUGUUAUAUAUAUCUUGUUUACUGUUUCAGUAGUUGCUUCUGAGUGGAUCUCUUCUACACAGAUUGGUCUGAGAUGGAGAACCGAAAAGGAAGUUAUAUUAGGGAAAGGUAGUCCAUGAGCCCAUAUACCAUAAUCUUCCUCCUUACACUUUGUCUUGUUUCUAAUCAAGAUUUAAUUGAAUUGAUUUGCUAACUUAUAUAAGUGAACUAAAUUAUGCAGUUGAAAUUUGUUGCUUGGAACAAUUUGUCAUUGAAGCAAAUUCAGUUGUUCACUUCUGUUUUUUUCCUUAGGGCAAUUUGUUUCCCAUAAAAAGAGUUUUCUUUGGAAGUAAAAAUUUAAGGUGUCCGACAUCUGGUCGAGUGUAAUAUGAAAUAGUUUUCACAACAUACUUGUUUUGUUUGAAGGAAAAGGAAAAGGAAAAGGUAAAGGAAAACUGUUUCAUUUUUCCUCUUCUUUUCUUUCGUUGCAUGGAAAAGGUAGGAUAUUGAUAUUUCCUAGAAGAAGAGGGUAAUAUGCACUACAUAGUUGAUAUAAGAGAUACCAAAAAAAUAGUAUAUAUAAAUAUAAAUAAAAUUUUUAAUAUUAUUUGUAUCAUCAAAAAGUUGAUUGUAGUACUAUGCUUGCAGAUUAUGUUUCCCAUAUCGUGUAUGUUCUUUUGAUUUUUUUUUUUUUUUUUUCAUUCAUGUUGUUUGCAUCGCUUGAAAUUUCAUAGUGUUAGUUGCCUAACAUGAAGGUGCAUUGAGCUUUUGCCACUCAAUUUCUUUCUUAAUACCAUCUAUACUGCAUUAGCGUCAUAGUAAUAUUGACUUGUUUUGAUAGAUCUAACGUGUUAAAUAACAGGGCAAUUUAUCUGUGGCAACAAGAAGUGUGAUGAGAAAGAAGGCUUAGGAAGCUAUGAGGCAUGCCCUUCCUUUACUUGACUUAAAUCUUGUAGCUGCAGUAUGCCAUCUACCUGUAUGAGCAUUACUGUAUUCUUGCAGAACUAGUUUAAUUUUUUGGAUGUUAUUUCUUGCCUUAGUUGUCAUAAUUUGCUUAAUACUUUAUCUAUUAAUGAAAUGCCAUGUUAAUUCCUUUUUGCUGAGAUGCUCGAGUAAUUGAUAAUGGUCGAGUAUUGAUGAUUUUAGAAGCCUUACCUACCUGUAAGUCUGAUUGUACCAUAUUCACUGUAUUGUAAGAAAUGGACAAUAGAACAUAGAGCAAGUCUCAGUAUGAUCACCAUAUCCAUCGUCGUCUUGGUAAAAUGUUGUUAGACUGUGAAGCUCAAAUUUAAUGCAUGUGACUAGAUGUUUCCUGUGCGUAUGUUCUCAAACUCAUCAAUUUGGAAUUUCGAUAUUCACCAAUUUAUAUGCAAUACACAUAUAAAGAACAACAAAUAAGAGAUUGAAUGAAGAGAUUGAUUCAGUAAUUGAUUAUUAACUUUGUCUUUUUUAUUAUGUUGAAUGUUUAUGAAGGUUCAACAUACUGCAGUUAUGCCUUUUAUUCUCAUUCUAGGAGCAUGUAACUAGUGAUUGAUUUCUUUCCUUUUUGAAUUUUUGUGUCUGUUGGUCUGUUUCAGGUAAAUUUUUCUUAUGUCGAAGCAGGAGAACAAAAACAGGCUCUUGUUAAAUUGGUUGCGUGCAAGAGGUUGGUUCAUUACUUCUUGGCUAGUGUUUGCUUUCUUGUUGGCGUGUUACUUGUCUGUUUGGCAGUUUUUCUGGAGUAACUUUUCCACUUAAGAAGCAGACAACACCCAUUGUUUGGUGACCAAAAAUUUUAGAGCAUCUUGCUUGAGCGGGAGCACCACGUAUUAGUCUUUGGAACCUCGAACUUAAUUCGAUUUGUGUAUUCUGCUUCUGUGUUAGCAAGAAGCUGCUUUAAGGUUUCGAUUGUAAAGCUCUUACGACUUCUCAAACAGCUUUAAUAUGCAGCUAUAUUAUACAAAAUCUCCAGUAGGGUGAAACUGAUCAUAAGUUUGGUACUAAUCAUGCUACUACUACAUGACUUCAGAUUUCUUAUAUGAGACAUUUAAUAAGCAUUUGUGCAUCAUAUUGGAGUUAAUCAUUACCCAGAGGGUUCUUGUGGCCGUUUGAGUGGUUGGCAAUCAUAUAUUUACCCUCCUCAAUUUAGGUGCAUCUGACUGACCAAACAGUAUCAGGCAUUUAAGGGGCUAAGGAAGCCAUAACAUACUCUCUCCAUUGAAUGUGGGUUAUGAAGCAAGUUAACCAGUUGAAGCAUGUUCGAUUUCUUUUCUUUUCCCCUUGUUAUUUUUGGUCAUUAUUCCCUCAUUGCUAGUUAUCUCAGUGGCUUUUUAUGAACUAGAUGACAUUUGAGAGUUUUGAUGGACGAUUGUCUGGAAACUAAGCACCAACCUUUUAAAGUUCCUAUAAAAUUUUCUGAGUAAUGUUACUUCUCAAACCCUUUCAACAUUUGAUCUCUGUAAUACCUAUGGAAUAAGUUGCCCUAGAUACCUAUUCAGCCAAAUAGAAGGUACCGGUUUUUUAAACUAUUAUGCCAAAUAAAGGUACAAAUUUAUCACCAUGUGUUCUACCAAGGUGGCACACACACAUACGGAUACAUAUAUACAAACACAUGUAUAUGACACAAAAGAUGCUUCUCCGGACGCAUUAAGGUGUAUAUUUUUUCACUCUGAAAUUGAUAUUUAUAAACAUUUUAAAAAACAAUCUAAACUGUCGGAUCUACGAACAAAUAAAAUUAUUGCCAUAGAGGAUUAUUUCUGAAAUAUUAUAUAUGUGCAUUGAAUAUACUGAUAGCCUUUUUUGAAACAAAAAAAAUCAAUGUUUGUUCUUUUUCCUGUGUGAGCCGGUCUCAUGGCCCCUAACCUUGAUUAGAUCUGACUCAAUUGCUUGAUUCUUUAGUUGCUUCCAACCGGACUGAGACUUUGAACCUGAUGAAUUGAAAUUCAAUCUAAUCUCCAUUAAACCUCACUCAAACAUUUCUAGACAUGUGAUGAAACUUGCUAAUACAACAUAGAAACCCAAAUCAAAGGGGCCCUAAAACCUAUGUUAUAACUACGAGACUGUUACUAUCUAUCAGAAAACAGUAGCAAGUCUUUUUAUAUGAACCAUUACUACAAGAAAAUUAGCGACAGCGUAGUUGCUUUGUUUCAGAGUUAUGUGGUAUGCACUAUUCUUAUGAGUUGCGAAAGACUUUUGUUUUGUGCAUCUGCUAUACUAUGAAAAAAUUAGCGAAACCAUAGUUUCUUCGUCUCGGCAAUAUGUUUCGCAUCUGAGUUCUUGGUGGCUUGAUAAGGGGUUCCUUGAUACCAUUUUACUUCAACUCUUUACAUUUAUACAUCCCUACUUUCAUGUGCUAUUAGGUCAGAUUCACAUUCUUGCUUGUAUCAAGACUCUUGACAUGUGUACUUAUCAUUAUUGUAGUCUCUAGUAUUGGAUGAAAUUGACAUCCUUUGUUGUAUUUAGAAACAUGUUGCUUCUUCUCUUUUUCAGCAUGGUAUGUGCUAUUGCAAUGACUAAAUUAGUAGUUCUUUAAUUCUUCAAUUGAGAGUUGAUGUAAAUUUUUAGCAAAUCUUUAUCGACAUGCUCUAACAAAUUAUUUGGUUUUGAUGGACUCCUUUCGCAAAGAUGUGCGGAAAAGCUUGUUUAUAGAAGGCAGAAAGAGAAGGAGCAGUCCAAAAGUAAAGAAAAAGAUGGAGACAAGAGAAAGAGGUAGCAACGAAUCUUUUGCUGCUAAUUUAUUUGUUUUCUUUCCCGUGCCCAAAAUGAUGAAAUCAAAUGUCUUUAUGGGUGCGUUUGGUUCGCGCUAUCUUUUUAAGAUUCCUAGUAAUCCAAUAGGAAUAAAAAAAUAUGACGGUGUUUGGCUAAACGCACUAAGUAAUCUAGUUGGUAAUAUUGGAUUUACUUGGGAAUGAGAUGCAUCCCAAAGUACUAAUCUCAUUCCUUUAAGGGAGGGUGGGUAUCUUUAUAUUAAUGGAUUGGGAUAAUUAUAAUAUGUCUAAUAUCUUUCUUUCUUCCUACCCGCUGGCUAGUUGGUAUUGUUUUUCUUUACACUCUAACCUCAUAUCUCUCUCUAAACUUAUCUUUUUCUCUCUAAACUUCAACUCCUUUUCUCUCUCUAAACUAAGCUAUUUCUCUCUCUCUUUUUCAAAAAUCUCAACCCUCUCAUUCUCUCUAAUCUCGACUCUAUUUUUCUUCCUAUUUCUUUAAUUAUGCUCUCUCUUUCUAAUCUAUAUUAUCUCUCUCUUUUUUCUAAAAAGAUGUUGAAAUUUCUUUAUAGUAUUAUUUCAAAUUAAUUUAAAAAAUAAAUAAAUUAAUUCUAUAUUUUUUGUAAUCUUAAAUAACAUUGACUAAAUAAUAUGACCGUACGAACCAAACACCGAAAUACUAUAUUCCUAGUAAUAGGAUGAAUAGGAAUAAAAUUCUCGGAUAUCAUUUUACUCCAAGUAAUCUUUCAUGGUGCGAACCAAAUGCGUCCUAUAAUUGAUCUUUCUUGUUGUUCUAAUGUAGGGAAAGAGAGGGAUCUCAUGAUAGCAAGGAUGAUGUCUACGGCAAAAGUGACGAUAAAAAGAAAAAAGGUUGGGUUUUCUAUGUGCUUCCUUUAUGUGUCAUAUGUUGUUAAAUACUAGUCAAAUCUCCUUAGGAAUCGUUGUACAUGAGUAAGGUAUUAAUAGUUACUAAUUGUGGUUACAGUUGGGGUAGGCGUUUACGGAUGCAAAUCUAACGACUACAUUUUCAUUUUGUGCCAUAUUUUAGUGCACUCCUUGACUACUCUUACUGCUACGUUAUUCAUUUCAAUUAACAUUGUUACUUGUUGUGGUUGCGGUUGCAAUUGCAGUUGCAAAUCUAACGCUGUUCCAAAAUAAAAAAGGGCAUGUGAAUCGCCCUUGUUAGCACAAUGUGACCGGAUAAUCAUAGCAAGGAUUUAAGGGCCGGGGCACGGGGUCGUGCCGGAAAUUUGCCGGCAUGGUGCGUGCCGAGCUGUGCCGAUUUGUGCCGGUCAAAAAAGUUCUUGUGUACCGACACAUAAUAGCAUGAAGUAUUUAUUUUCUUUAGCAACAAAAUAUUCUAACUAUUUAUUACGUCUUUUUAUCACAUCUUUUGAACUCUAUUGAGAAAAUUACUUACUAAUUUAAAGAAUAGAGGGUUUGGAGUUGUGCCAUCGGCACGGGGUCAAUAUCGUGCCGUUGUCUUGUUGGCACGGUACGGCACGGUGGAUACGGCCCGUACCGACGGGCACUUCAAACCUUGAAUCAUAAUUUCUAAGGAAAAAUUAUUAUUGUUAUUGGCAUCAAUCUGGAAGUAGACUUCUAUAAAGUUUCCUUGAUUGUUGGUUAUACCGUUGUAAUAUUGUCUUCCAGGACUAGUUCCAACUUCCAAUUCCUAUAUUAUUUGAUGAUAUUAGGAGAUGGCUUUUCAUUUUGUCGAAAGCUGGUCAUGGAGAUCUUACUAUUUUCUCUUUACACAGUAACAAUUACAUACUUGUAGAUCCGCAACCUUCUCCUUUCGUCAAGUAGACAAAAACCUCUCUAAUUUUUAUGAAUGAAAAUAUUGCAGGUGAAAAGGAUGCUUCAGCAAGCGGUGGCAAUGACGAGGAUGAAAACUUUGAGGCGUAUCUGGAGGGAAUGUUUCCGUGAUCGGUUGUACUAAUAUGUGAGUUGAUGCGACAACCCGUUAAUAUUUUCUCCUGUACAUAGUAAACAAUCAUUAAGAAGCAGAAUUUCGAUUCACUAUAUGAACAUGUAAUUUAGUAGUAGUGUAGACCUUUCACAAUAGGGAUUUUGUAUUAUUUGAUUUAGUUGUCGGUGCCGCAGAUCUUGUACCUGUACCCAUUAGCUGAAGCUGAGAAAAAUAUAAACCAACAUUGCAAGAAAUUGCGAUUGUGUUUGUGCUGCUCUUUUUGUCAGUCUUUUAUGCAUUCAUUUUGGAAACCUAAUUCACUCCCCUGCAGCCAUGACAAGCAUGAUUGUCUUAAUUAAUAAUUAUUAAUAAUAAUAUUGAAAUGGCUAAAAUUCAAUGUUCCCUUCUAUAGUUCAAAAAUUAUAUUUAAUUAUUCUGUAGUUUUAUAUUUAUUUCAUCGUAAGGACUUAUAGUUAAAUAGGGAUAUUUUCUUUGCAAAUCAUAGGAUGAUGUAAUAUAACAUUUUAUAAUUCUGUGAUGCACACUUUAUUUAUUCUAUAGUGUGCACUCUGCAAAAACUAUCACCUUACUAUAUAUAUGUUCGGAGUUUAGUGUAGUGAAAUUGACGUGCGGUGUAAGAAACUUCAUCUAUUUCUAAGGACUCAAGAAUUUCAAUGUUUUUUUUUUUUAAUUUUUUAUGAUAAGACUUGUGAAAGAGGGCUGCGUAAUUGUAAAUUGUUUUUUAUCAUAAGACUUUUGAACUGAAGGUAGGUUCCAUUAGGCUUGAUUUGGAGUAUUUAAAGUAUUUAAAAAUUAAAUUUUAUAAUUUUUCGAUAUUAUUUAUCAAGUGAUUAAAAUGUUUCAAAAUUGAUAACUAAAGAUAAAAAUCUCAAAAAAAAGUGAUGAUAAGGUUCUAAAAUUUUAGAUUAGAGAUAUUGAUCCUUCGUUAGAUAGCUUAAAUAGUUUUUUAUUAAAAUUUAACCUAAUUUGGAUAUUUCUGAAGGAUCAAAUGGCAACUAAGAGGGGGGGGUGAAUUAGUUGAAAACUAAAAACUCAAGUAAAAUUAAAUCAAGAUAAAAAUUGCACAACCAAAUAAAAGAAGAAAAUGAAACUCAGAUAACACAGAUGAUUUAUCCUGGUUCGGCCCUUCUGCCUACUCCAGUCCGGUCCUUCUUCUCCUCGAGGUACCGAUUUCACUAUCACUUGGCCUUUUGAAUAGGGCAAGACCAAAGCCGCUUACAAUCACACAAAACUUCUUUUACAAUCUCUCAAGAAGCUCACAAUUACAAAUCAAUGAACAAUUAGGACUUAGAGAAUUUUUCUGAAGUUGUGUCACAAACAACAUCCAAGCCCCCCUUUAAAUACACUAGCCAUCAUUUCAAAAAUGGAACAAAAGCAUAAUUAAAUUAUAAUUGAUUUCAAUUUGAAUUUUAACCAUAUUUGCAAAUGCAUUUGAAUUAAUUCCAAAAUAAAUUCGAAUUCAUACCACAUUUGCAAAACAUUUGAAAUAUUACUAUAUUGAAAAGCUCAUUUGAAAUUAUACUAAAUUUAUAAAAUUCAAAUUCAUACCACAUUUGCAAAACUCAUUUGAAAUAUUACUAUAUUUUUUAAAUUCAUACUAUAUUAAAAUCAAAUUUGAAUUUAUACCAUACAUAAAAUCACUUUCAUACCAUAUUAAAAUAAUGGCUAAUUUGACAUUAAGCUCAAAUCAAACCCAAAGGUGAAUUGGUCAACUUGACUAGGUUGACCGGCUCAAAUCCGAUAAAUUGUAAAGAAGUCCUCCAAAUUUUUGUUGUGGCACUUGUAUCCAAUUUGGUACAAUUUGAUCUUGUCCAGGCCAAUUUGAAUAAUUUGAUUGAAUUGUUACCUUUGAUCAAUUCCGGUUCAGCUUGAGCCACUUUAAAUUUAACUAUAACCUGAAAUUGCUAAAUGACAAAUUAAAUCCAAUAUUUGUUUGUUAUCAUCAAAAUUUAUUAUUGGAUAAAAUCCAACAAUUCCUACACCUUUAAAUUUUAAAAUAGUUCAUACUUAUUAUUAAAAUUAUCAAUUUUGAGCCAUUUUAGUUAAAAAUAAAUAAUAUAUAAAAAUUUUAAAAUUUAUUUUGUAAAUCUAAGUAUUCUAGAUCGAGUCUAAUAGGCCCGAACGCUGAUUUGGAAAUCUCAUUAUUAAAAAUAAUUUGGAACUACUGCGGCCAUCGAAAGUACGUAAGCCUAGUUCUCUCUCUCUCUCUCUCUCUCUCUCUCUAUAUAUAUAUAUAUAUAUCUAUUAUUGAUACAAAGUAAAAUUUUUAGUAGGCAUCAUAGUAACGUAGAUUAUUUUACAUAGAAAUUUAUUUUAACAUGAUCAACUGAUCAUACAUACGACAUUAUUCACCUUGUCUAAUCCUGUAAUUAGGGAAAGAGCUCAAUUAUGGAGUGUGGAUCACCGUUCAAAGGAGUAAUUUUGUAGUUUGCAAACCCUGCUUUGCUAAAAAUUUUUCGCCACUCGACUUCGUCGCGCUCCUUUCCGCCGAGGCCUGUCAUCAUAAGAAUAUCAGACAAGAGCCCCAUUUCAUUUUUCUGGGGGUCGUCGCCGAGCGUAUUUAUCACUACAUCCACAAUUAUGACUUUUCCGCGUUCUCCUCCGUUAGCAGAAAUUGCUUUCUUACAUUGCUUCAGAAUCUUCGCGCAGUCCUCGUCGCUCCAGUCGUGAAGAACAUUCUGUGUUACACAUUUCAUCAGAUCUUUUGUCAGGAUCAAAUACAAAUGUGACACCAAUAUUUUUUGAUUGGGCACACGUGGUAUUUGUAAUUCAUAAAAAUCAAUGUACGAUUAAUUGCGAAAAAUAUUUGUUUAGGGUUUAGGGUUUAGGGCGUGCGCGCGUGUGUAUAUAUAUAUAUAGAGUGAGCUGGUAUGCUUAUAGAAGCACGGAGCCCUUCGUGCUUUCAAGUUGUUUUUGAUGUUCGGAUUUUCGAAUCGACGAUCGGCUCCGGCAUAGUUGAUCUAGAGUAUUUGAAGUACCUAGAAAAUAAAUUUUGUGAUUUUUCGAUAUCAUUUGCCUGGUGAUCGAAGGGGCUCAAAAUCAAUAAUUUUAACGGCCGUGGUGAGCUGGUUGCAACUUUAACGGUGUAGAAAUAUCCAAAUCAUAUGAAAUUUUGAUAGAAAAUUCUUUAUACCAUAUAAAACAAGAUCAAUAACAUUGUUCUAAAAUUUUAAUGUCAUAUCAUCAUAUUUUAUAAGAUUUUUAUUUUCAGCCGUUGAUUUUGAGCCACUUCGAUCACUAGGCAAAUGAUAUCGAAAAAUCGCAAAAUUUAUUUUCUAGAUAGCUUCAAGAUCAAGUCUAACGGAGCCGAUCGUCGAUUCGAAAGUCCGAACAUCGAAAACAAAGUGGAAGAAGAGCGCCUCCGUACUUCCAUAAGCAUCCUCAGCGCACUCUCUCUCAGUACUCCUAGCUUCGAGGUCUCAUUCCCGUCUUUCUUCCUUCUUCGUCUCAGUCCUCUCUUCUCUCUUCUGCUCUAUAUAUAUAUUAUAUAUAUAUAUAUAUAUAUAGCAGGGCUGCUAUGCUUUCAGGAGCACGGAGGCCUCCGUGCUCCUGAGCCGUUUUCGAUGAUGAAUUUUCGAAUCGACGAUCGGCUCCGUUAGACUUGAUCUAGGGUAUUUGAAGUUUCUAGAAAAUAAUUUUUGCGAUUUUUUGAUAUCAUUUACCUAGUGAUCGAACGGAUUCAAAAUCAAUAAUUUUUAAUGGUUGAUAUAUGUCGUUUUCCAGUUUAACGGUGUAGAAGUAUUCAAAUCAGAUAAAAUUUUGAUACAAAAUUCUUUAUACUAUCCACGACAAGAUCAAUAUUUCUGAUCGAAAAUUUUAGUGCUAUAUCACCACUUUUUAUAGAAUUUUUAUUUUCAGCCGUUAGAUUAUACUAUUCAACAAACCACCCAUUCAACCCUAGGAAACCCACAUCAAUCUAACCACACAUUUCUCAAUCCAAGGGCUAAAAAACUGAUAGCACCAAGCCUUUGGUGCUAUCGAUAGUAUUCCAGCCUAAUUCUAUAUAUAUAUAUAUAUAUAUAUAUAUAUAUAGAGAGAGAGAGAGAGAGAGAGAGAGAGAGAGAGUUCUGCUACUAUCCUCUUAUGAAUACAAUCACUCUCGUAUUUAUAAGCCAUUUUUCGAUGAUAGAGCUUUCAAAUCGACGAUUCAUACCGUUAAAUAUUAUCUAGAGCAUUUAAAACUUCUAAAAAUCAAAUUUCAUAAUUUUUCGACAUUAUUUACCUUACGAUAAAAAUGUCACAAAAUUGAUAAUUUUUAACAAUUGGUAUGAGGUACUUGCUAGUUUAGUAAUGUGAAAGAGUUAGAAUAGGUUGAAUUUUUAAUAAAAAAUUUUAUUCACUAUCUAGAUAAAGAUCAAUAAUUCCGAUCUUAAAUUGAAAGAUCCGAUCAUUUAUUUUUCGGACGUCGUUCGAUUUUAACCGUUCAUUUUAUGCCUGUUUGAUAGAUUUUAUUAUAAUUUCAAAAAAUUAUGAAAUUUAUUUUUUAGAAAUUUUAAAUGCUUUAGAUUAUAUUUAAAAGAGCGAAUCGUCGAUUCGAAAGUUCCAUCAUUGAAAACAACUUAUGAGUACGAAGGGCUCUCUACUCAUAAGAAUAUAGUAGCCCUACUCUCUCUUUUUCUCUUUCUUUCUCUCUCUCUCUCUAUAUGUAGAGAGGCUGGAAUGCUUCUAAUAGCACCAAAUUAUUGGUGCUAUUAGAUUUUCGAUCCUUGAAUAAAGGGAUGUGCUGUUAGAAUGAUAGUGAUCCUCUAGAGUUGAGUAGAUGGUUGGUUGAAUAGUAUGAUUUAUCCUAGAGUAGAUUGUUGGUUGAAUAAUAUGAUUUAACGGAUAAAGAUGGUCAAAAGAAAAAUCUAACGAUUGCAAACUUGGUAGCACCAAGUGUUUGGUGCUAUUAGAAGCACCCCAAUCGGACUCUCUCUCUCUAUAUAUAGCUGAAUUCAAUAAUUAUUUCUAAUUUUGUACUUAUUUAAAAUAAUGAUAAAAUAUAGAAAGGUAAUUGAACUAAUUUUUAAUGCAAGGAUAGGAGGGACAGAGCCUAGAGUGCGAGGAAUUCUACACUGUCACACUUGCACCACGUCAUCAAUAACAAGCCAAUCACAUUCCUUCUUUUCAAACAAAAGUACAAUAAAAAUACUUUUUUACAAUCAUGAUGGGACAUAUAUUCUUAAAAGGAUUAAUUUGAUUGGUUUGUUACGCCACGUUACUAAUAUACCCGUUGCAUUCUAGAAUUUUUCCUAGAGUGCAAGAUAUUUUUUUCUCUAAUUUUGCUUCUCUUUCUUUCAAAACAGUGGUACUGCUUUCAUAUUUUUUAAAUUAAUUUUGAUGAUUAAACAUCCAAAUCAACGAUUGGCACUACUAAAGUUAACUAAAUUAUUUAAAGUAUUUAAAAAAUAAUUUUUUUAUUUUUUAAUAUUAUUUAUCUAGUAAUUCAAAGAAUUCAAAAUAAAAAAUUUUAGUGGUCCAUACGAGCUAUUUGUAAGUUUAAUAAUAUAAAAAUAUUUAAAUUAUGUGAAAUUUUGAUAUUUUUUUUAUACUAUUUAAAAUAAGAUCAAUAUCUUUAAUCUAAAAUCUUAAUAUUGUACAUUAUAUUUUAUGUGAUUUUUAUGUUUAAUCAUUGAUUUCGAGCCCUUGCAAUUACCAAGUAUAUGAUAUCAAAAAAUUACGAAAUUAUUUUCUAGUUACUCUAAAUACUCUAUAUCAUUUAUAGCGGAACUGAUCAUGGAGUUAGAAAUUUUACCAUUGAAACAACUUCGGAGUAUAGAGGUUUUUGUACUUCUAAAAUUAGAUCGGUUGAAAUUUAUAUUUGUAAAUGUAUGCUUAUCAAAAUUUUACUUAUAAAACUAGACCUACAUCCUGCCAUAUGUCAUUUAUGUUUUAAAAUACUAAAAAUGAUUAAUCAGAUUCUCCAGACAUAACACAAGACGGUUAAUUAAUUCAAGUGAUAUUAGAUUCACAACUCAAAUGGCAAAAGACUUGGUGGUCGGUACCCGAGACUCAAGUUCGAAUUCUAGUUGAUUCACAUUUCUAGUUAAGUUUAUUUCAAAAUGAAAUAAACGAAGCGGGUAGCGUGCUACCUAUCUCUCUCAAAAAAAAAAAAGAAAAAAGAAAAAGAUAUUAGAUUCACAACUCAUGGACUACAUCUCCAACUAGACCAUCCCAAAUUCAACAGAUUGAUAGGCAUAUCAGAAUGGUGUAUCUCGAGUAUUGGUAAGUUUAUUAGUCUAUAUUUUGUGUUUUGUGGAUUACUAUUAUCUUUUUUUCUUUUUCUUUUUUGAAUAGAUAUUAAGGGUUUAAGUUUAUGACUAUCUCGGUACCUUUUACCGUGAUCAUAUGUGUGUAUAAAUAAAUAUUAAUAAAUUAGAUCAAAAAUUGUAUAUGUCGAGCUCCAAUAUAGCUAAAUUGAUGCGCAUAUGGGCCGAAAAAAUUUGAUAGCCAAUGACUUGGUGCUAUUAAUAGUAUAUUAACCUAGUUCUAUAUAUAUCGCAUAGUAUUCUAGCUCAAUCUAUAUAUAUGUAGAUAUAUAGAGUUGAGCUAGAAUACUAUCGAUAGCAAACAGACUUUUUGGCCACACAUUUGUUUUUGAUGAUGGAGCCUUCGAAUCGACGAUCGGCACCCGUUGAACAUGAUCUCUAUACACUUGAAGUGUUUAGAAAUCAAUUUAAAUCUUUUCGACAUCAUUUGCCUAAUGACAAAGGUUUCAAAAAUUUUAAUUUAAUGGUCGAUAUGAGACGUUUUCUCGUUUAACCGGAUAAAGAUAUCCAAAUCAAAUUGUUUUUUGUUAGAAAAUUCUUUAAACAUUUUUAAAUAAGAUCUAUACUUUUGAUCUUGAUUACAAGACUCCUAUCAUCAUUUUUUUGAGAAUAUUCAUACUCAGCGGUUCAUUUUGGUCCCUCGAUGGAUAAGAGAACAAUAUCGAAAAAUGUAAUUGAAUUUGAUUUCUAAAUACUUCAAAUGAUAUAGAUCAUGUUCAACAGUACGAUCAUCAUAUUGGAGGCUCAUAUCGAAAUAAAUGGUGGCAAAAAACGAUUUGCUAUCGAUAGUAUUCUAGGCUCAACCUUUAUAUAUAUAUAUAAUUAUUAUAAUUUUGUGUAAUACUAAAUACAAAGGACAAUACUAGGUCUAUAGUUUACUUUGGAUUGUAAUCAUACAAUUUUCUAGUUCACAAAGUCCUUUCUUCUUUACUUGAUCUUACCAUUUUCUUUCUCUACAACUAACAAAGAAUUAAUAAACCCUACAAGGCUUGGAUGAAGGUUUUUUUUUUUUUUUUUUUUUUUUUUUUUUUUUUUUAAUUUUUGGCGCGGGGGGGGGGGGGGGGUGGUGUGUCUCUGCUUUUCGUACUGUGUAGGGUAGAGUUGAGCUAGAAUACUUUAAAAUACCAGAGGGUGGUGCUUGUGACUUUUUACCCUGGAUAGAGAAAUGUAGGUUGAGAAUGAUGGUGGUAGGAUGUGGUAGGUGUGGUAGGUGGAUAGUGUUUGAUCCAAAGGGCUAUUAGUAAUCAAGGAGUAUAUCCAAGGGCUAAAACUAAUAGCACCAAAGGAGUGAUACUUGUAAAAGUAUUCUAGCUCAAUUCUAAUAUAAUUAUAUAUAGAAUUUUGUGUAAUACUAAAUACAAAGGACAAUACUAGGUCUAUAGUUUACUUUGGAUUGUAAUCAUACAAUUUCUCUAGUUCACAAAGUCCUUUCUUCUUUACUGAUCUUACCAUUUUCUUCUCUACAACUAACAAAGAAUUAAUAACCCUACAAGGCUUGGAUGAGAGUUUUUUUUUUUUUUUUUUUUUUUUUUUUUUUUAUUUUUUUUUUUAUUUUUUUUUUUUUUUUUUUUUGGCGGGGGGGGGGGGUGGUCUCUGCUUUUCGUACUGUUAGGGGGGUGUUAAUUAGACUUAGUAUUCCUCUUUUGAAAGAAGAAAGCUCUGAAAAUUAAUCUUACCUUGAGGAGCACCGCACCGGCCGGUGGAAUGUACUCAAACAUGUCGCCGGCGACCGCGUCGAUGAGCUCGCUUUUGGGUGCGGCGGCCACGACGUGCGGGAGCUCGAGGACGGUGCACUUCACCUCCGGAAACGCCUCGGCGAUCAUCUUGGCGGUCAUGCCGGUGCCGCCGCCGACGUCAACCAGCGACCCGAUCCCGCGGAAGACCUGCGGGCAGCACGCCACCGCCGCCGCCGUCGUCUGCCUGGUCUUGCACGCCAUCGCCUCGUUGAACAGCCUGCCCAUGUGCGGGCGCUCCUGGGCCACCUUCCACAAGUUCCUCCCGCCGUGCGCCGUCUCAAAUGCAUUCAUAUUCGCACCUUCCUGCGUCAGCCACUCGCUCAUGCGGUACAUCGGCUUCACCAUGUCGGGCUCCAAGCAGGCCCGCACGUACGCGCUCAUGUUCGGGCUGCCGUCAUCGGCGGUGACGAGGAGCCGCGAGAAGGGCGUGAGGAGGUAGCCAAUGCUGCCGUCUCCGUCGUCGUCGACGCCGCUGUCGCCGAGAGCCUGCACGGCGAAGACGCCCUGCGCGGAGAGAAGGCGCAUGAGGCGGCGGAGCAUCGGCUGCUUCUCGAGGGGCACGGGAAUGGAGAGCGCGAGGGCCGGGAGAGGCAUGGGCUCGCCGCCGUAGGCGUGGAUGCGGUCCGGGAUGCGGAGGUCGACAGCGCACUUGAGGGCGAAAGGGCCAACGAUGCUGAUGAUUCGGUGUUCAAUCGUCGACUGGACGACCAGCAGCUGGUCGUCGGUGAUCUUCAUCUCGCCUUUGCCGGGCUCCAUUUCUAAUCUAUAGAUUGUUUGGAUUCUUAAUUACUUGGAAGUGGUGGAGGAUAUAGAGGCUUUAGGCUUGCCGGUAAAUAUAUAGUGCUUUCGGGGGAUAGAACACUACCAAUCAACCAUUCAAAAUAAAAUUACAAUGAGAGUAGAGAAAUGUUAACUUCAAAACUUAGUCUUAUAUAAUUAUGAUUCGGCAAAAAAUUCAAUACUGGUAUGACAUAAAUAAAAUUUGUAUUCCGAAUUUUAAAUUCGUUGAAAAAUACGGUUUAAAAAACAGAUUCGCCAAUUAUUUGGAUACACAAUUAUACGAAAAUUAUACGUUUACCAAUUAAAAAUUUGGUACAAAAAUUCGGCUGUUAAAUUAAAUAUUUUUCCCUCGAUUUAUGAUACUACCGUAAAUAGUUAUAGCUCUUAAGAAUAUAAUAAUAAAGAGCUACAAAAUAAAAUAGAUUAAAUAAGAAAAAAUAAUAGUGUAGUUUAUUAUCAUUCCAUAUACUCCUGUAGCUCAUCAUGUUUUUUAAUAAUUCGCCAAUAAUUCGACAAUAAUUCGCAAAUAAUGAAAAAAUGGUCUUAUUUAAAAAUUUUGCGCGUUUUUUUCGCUGAAUAUUUUGGUAUUCGCGAAUUAUUCGUGAAUAAUAAAUCUAAGAUAAAAAAUUAUAUUUUAUUUUGAUUUUUUAAAAAUAAAUCACAUACGAAUUGUUUUAUUUAAAUUUUCAAUAAUCGACAAAUUAACUAUCGACUACCGUGGUUGCAAUCUCUUUCAGAACGAUGCCUGGAAAUUUUCUGGACACAAAUUUAGGAGACAGCAACGUUGUACGUACACUUCCCUCACAUGUGGUUCUUACAUUGGCCAUAACUAGAAAUAAUUGACUGAUCACGCCAUAUUCGCAUUCAUAGGUAGCAUUUUUCAAAUCUAAUUAAAUCUCAUCACUAUCCUAUUGAAAAGGUUGGAUUUAAGAUGCUAUAUACUAUUCUCAAACAAAUCAACUUCUCCGUACAUUAAACUUUUGCAAACUAGUCCCUCAACGAAGAGAAUUUACUGUUAAAUCCCCUCUCAAAUUUAAGUACACGCACCUGCUGACUAAAUAAUAUCAAACAUUUAAGGGGCUAGAGAAGUUAUAUAUAACAUCCUCCCUUGUUACGACGAAAAUCGAAAAGAUCUAAUUUGCCAGAAGCGAAAAUAUCAAAAAAAAUCCGAAAAAGAGAGAAGAAAAAUAAAACAUAUAAUAUUUACGUGGUUCGGUCACCGGUUUAUAUCCACGAGCGAAAACGAAGCAAAAAUCUUCAUUAUAAUCAAAAUGGUGUAUAAAAUAUACCUCUCUCGUAAAAUCCUAACUCCAAAAAUGCACUCAUAUUCUCUCUCUCAUCUGCCGCACCAAAUCAAUGGAAUAAAAGAUAUAUUUAUAAUAGUGGCUAAAUUCUAAUAUGAUUAGAAAUACAAAUUCACUAAGACUAGAAAUAUCUUAAUUAUAUUAGGUAUAAUCUAUAUUUAACUUAAUGAGAUAAUAAUCAAAACAGAAAAGAGUUAAAAAAUCUUGAGAUUUUAGAAUUUGAGACAUAUCUAAUAUCCCUCUAGUAUAUUGUCGAAUAUGGGUAAUGAAGUUGUCUGCCCAAAAGAAACAAAAGUAAAAUCUAUUUUAUUAAUAAAAAGAGAGACUGACCGUCCCCAGAGCAAGUGGCAAAGGACUUGGUGGUUGGUACCCGAGACCCAAGUUUGAAUCCUAGUUGAUUCACUUUUUCAGCUAAAUUUAUUUCUAAAUGAAAUAAACGAAGCGGGUAGCGUGCUACAUAUCUCUCAAAAAAUAAAAAUAAAAAUAAAAAUAAAAAGAGAGCUAUUUUGGAAUGAGCCCCAAGCCUUUCAGCUUGGAUUCGCCGCUGUGACUUGCUCUCUUUAAAGUAUGCUAGGUUCAACUACUUAGUUUGGACUAAACUGGGCUAUGUUUUAGCACGGAACUGGAAAUUCCAAAGAUAUAAGAUUUCGGCCUAAAUCUUCGGAUGGUUGAAACAUCAGAAAAGUAAACUACUAAAACUAUUAGAACUAUUACCGAUCGUCCCUAGAGCAAGUGGCAAAGGGUUUGGUGGUUGAUACCCGAGACGCAAGUUCGAAUCCUAGUUGAUUUACAUUUCUAGCUAAGUUUAUUUCUAAAUGAAAUAAACGAAGCGGGUACCGUGCUACCUAUCUCUCAAAAAAAAAAAAAAAAAACUAUUAGAACUAUUGCUACGAUUUUCGGCUGGAAUUAGAAAAACCUAACAAGUCUACUUUCAGUAUGAAGAAUAAAACUACUAUUUUCUAAAUAGAAUAGCCUUAGGCAUUGGACUCGUGGAAGUAAAGCCUUUUCCUUCAUCUUUUGUGUAGUAUUUAUAACUCCAUGCAUGUCCUGAUUUCGAGUCUGAUAAUAUCUAAUAAGAUGUAAUUUAAUAUUUGAUUUAUUUUGUCAUUUAGUAGCUCGUACUAACUACAAUAAGUAUUUUGCGAAUAAAUUAUUGAGUUAUUUUCUAAAGUUAAUAGUUUUGAUCACUUGUUAGCAACUAAAAACUAGAAUACUUCAUAACUAACUAGUAAAGAUAUCCGCAUGUUACGGCGGAUUGAUUUUAAAAAUAUAAUAAUUAACGAAAAUAAUGCAGUAAUCAGUUUCUGUACAACAGAAAACAAAAAGGAGUAAGAAAAAAACUAUCUCGAUAUUUUUACACAAAUAUAAAAUAGCAAGUAAAGGUUAUAAAAUUUAUAGAUCUGUUAAAAUAUGAAAUCUUAAUCGAUAAAUAAAAUAAAUAAAUAAGAGUCAUCCGCUAGCAAUUUAAUCUUCUAAAGUGACUUUGAACCCAAAAUAUCUGUUUAGUCAUCUUCAUAAAUUUCCAGCCAAGUUGUAUCUAGCGAGAGAGUGCAUUGCAUUGUAGUGGAUUGCACUAAGCGUAAUAAAGAAUCCAUAAAAUUACCUCACUCCCUAUAAUAGAAGCCCUCUAUUGUUGGUAUUGAUAUAAAAAAUUCUUAUUAGUACCUUAUUAUAAUAUUCAAUGUGAUCUAAUUAGCUGCAUGAUUUAACAGUAUAUGCCACUGGUUGUGCAUAGUACUUCGAUCUCACUUUCACUUCUUCUAGACGAUUACUUGUAAACAAAAGAAAGAGAAAUUUUUUUAAAGAAAGAUUAGAAUACCUUGAACAAAACAAAAGGAUCAAAAUGAUCUUCUUAGAAGUAAAUUUCAUAAAAUUUUUAUGAUUUUACAUUGGUUGCUAUUUAUUGGAUGUAUCUUUAUAUUCGUAAACAAAAAUAAAAGCUUGUUUUUCCAAUGGCUUAAGAAGAAUUUAAAAGAAAUAAUUACUGCAGUAUUCAUGGAGUGCAAGAAAUGUGAUCACUGUCAAAAGCAAUAGCGCUGAAGAAAAGGAGCAAUAGAACAAAUUCGACAACUUUACAAUAUUCACAACUUUAAUGCCAUUGUAAGAAAACAUCAAUCUUUUGUUAAGUGUAUUAUUCGGUUGUUUCUUAUUGUUGAAUACAAAAUUUAAUAAUUUUAUGAUGGUAUCAAUGCAGGAUGUCAUAAAUCUGAGUCUUGCCAGGUUCAUAGUAUUGUUAUUUUUUUUUUAUUUAUUCAAGCCAUGUCUUGAGUCUAAACAUUAAAGGGGCUAUGUUGAAUAUAAAAUAUAAAACCGCUUUCUAACAAAAGAUUUUCGAGGACAAUAAUUGCAAGGGAUAAUAUCCUAUAUACUCCUUAUACGUUUGAAAAUAUCCGAUUUGUUCCUACUUUUUUUUCUUUCUAAAAUACCUCUCAUAUGUUCCACCGUUAUUGCAAAAUACCCUCGCAGUUAUCUCCUGUUAAGUUAACUUGGGUUAAACAUGAGUUAAAUAUCUACCACAGUUAAAAAAAUUAAAACGCCAAUUUUGCAUUUAACUUAUUUUGUGCCCCUGACUUUAAGAGCAAAUAAGAAAGACAAUGAUAGUGAAAAGGUAUAUUUGAAAGGGCAAAAUAGUAAUUUUACAGAGAUAAUAUAGUUAAUUAACAGAUUUUAACUCUAGAGGUAUAUUAGGAAUAGGUUGAAACGUAGGAAGGGUAUUUUCAAUAUUAGCCUUCUAAAAGGGGUAAAUCGGAAAGUCAGAAACUUUUCAGGGGUAUAUAAGUAAUUGCCCCUAAUUACAAAUAAAACUAUGGUAUCUGAUGCAAUGGUAAACUAUUAUCUAAUGCAGUAUCUUCUAUAACAUAAAUUCUCAUUUGUUAUAUUAUCUAUAAAUUUAGCGUACCACAGUUUUGUACGAACAAAGAUUUACUCAUAAAAUAAAAUAUUUAAUUUAAAUCCCGACUCAUACCAAGAAAGAUGAUUAAUAACUAAAUAAAUCUAAUUCUAUCAUCUUACCGAGACUUGAUAUCCUUUAAUUUAUAACCGCAGGCAAAAUCGCCGACACCUCCGCCGAUCAUUGCUGCUUGAGUGCUCGUCGAGGAACCUCUACCUCACAGAGUAGCAAAGUUCAAAAUCCAAAAGGGUGUUAUAGAGCCCCGAGAUCUCCACGUAAUUGAACCCAGAUGCUAAAUCCACACUAAUUAAAAUUCUCAAGUCGAAUUGGACAUCGGAUGAGGCAGCGAAGGAGGAUGGGGUUUGAGAGGAGGCGAGGAAGGCAGUGCCUCUACCGCAGCCGACAGAGAUGUGACCGUGGCGAGGGGCGGAAAUUUAGUCUAACGUUUUGGUAGUGUAAUAUGCAUGCUCUUUGCAAAGAAACAUCAAUUAACUAAUAUGAAAUCCCAUGCAUGUUCUAUUGUCCACGUGGCGAUAUUAUCUUGAUUUGAAUUUUUGUGUGACCUACCUGUCAAACUAAUAUAUUUUGCUUAAUAUAAUUUUCAUUUAAUUGGCUAAGAGAUUUUUCAAAUUCUCUUUUGUGGGUCUCACCUAUCAUCUUAAUUAAUUAUAGACUUUUGUGGAAACCCAACUGUCAUAUUAACUUAUUUGCCCAUGGGUCCCACUGUCAGUUUAUUUUUCUCAUUCUCUUUCCAUUUAAUUGUUUCAGAGACUUUUCAUUCCACCUUCAUCUCUAGGGUCGCUUCGACUCCCGAGUAGCGACGCUUCGUUCCAACGUGUCGCAAUAAUUGUUUGGAUUCAUCUCAUCGAAUAUAUCUAUUUGCCGAAUCUGAAAGGCCAUCUAACGUUUAAUGCGGUAUUUCCCGCUGCCUUUUUUUUUUGUGCGGCAUAACAUCUCCACUCCUCUGCCAGUUUUCACUUUUUCUCUGAUUUGGUUUUCACCUUUCAUUCAUGUUGUAAUUUCAAUUUGUGUACUUAUUAUUUUUUUCUCAGAAAAUACUAAAUACUUUUAUUUUCUCUCAGAAAAUUUAUUGCUUCUGGCUGCAACAAUUAAUCAUAUUAACAGGUUCCUUUUUACUUUGAAUUUGAUCUUUUAUUUCUUUACUCCAAUUUUUCUAUUGUAUAUUAUAUUUUAAAUUAAUAUUAAUCUUUUUUAUUAUGAAUUUUUUACCUCUGUAUCUACAAUUGAUUGUCUCAGAUUUUUUAAGUUUCUUGGCCUAAUUUUUAUGUAUAUACUUAUUUUUUUUUGCAUAUUAUUUUACGCUGUUACAAGUGUAAAAUUCGUUGUAUCUAUGGUUGCCGCUGCUGCUGUUUCUUCAAUUGCUUCUGCUUUUUUUUUUCUUAUUCAAUUUUUUUUCUCUUAUGUAAUUACUAUUUCUUCUUUCUUUACCUUUUUUCACAGGAUAUUAAAUAUUUCUUUAAGUUAUUUAUACAUCAAAAUUUUUUUUUCUUAAGAAAAGAAUUUUAGUAUAAAAACGCAAGUUAAAUAUUGAAUAUUAUCUACUCGCAACAUCGUGCGGGUCACUGCACUAGUUAUAAUAAGCUUUACCAUGCACAGUUUUAUGUUUAUAGUUGCAGGUCUCAAAGGCAAAAUCAAGUUCAAAGUUAAGAAUAUAUAUUUCUCCUUAUCAACCACUUCCAACCAUUAAGACAAACAAAUAUUAAGAUAUUGUUUACACUGGCCUUUCCCUUUUAGUCUCCUAAAGGCUAUAUAAUAUCAUGUAAAAAUAUUAAUAGUAAAUAUAAAGAAACAAAAGAGAACACUCUUCAAGUUAGGGAUAAAUGUAUAUUUAUUUAUAUAAAUAUAUCUGAAUUUUAAUGGAUCCUUCCGAGUCAUCAAUUUUACUUUUUUGUAUAUUUAUUUAUAUAAAUAUACCUGAAUUUUAAUGGAUCCUUCCCGGUCAUCAUUUUUACUUUUUUGAGAGAAAAAAAAGAUUGUUUGUAUGCAAGAAAGGUUAGAAUUUCUAGAAAUCAAAUUUACAGCAUUUAGAAAAUUCUAAAAAUUAAAUUUUUUAAUUUUUUGACAUUAUUUUACUUUACGAUCUAAAGAUCUUAAAAUUAACAACUUUUAACGUGCGGUAUGUGAUGCUUACUAAUUCAACGGUGUAAAAAAAUCAAAAUUGGCUGAAUUUUUGAUAGAAAAUUCUAUUCACUAUCUAAAUAAAGACCAAUAACUCUGAUCUUAAAGAGGACGUUCAAUUUUGACCGUUCAUUUUAUGCCUUCUUGGUGGAGUUUAAUAUAACUUUAAAAAAACUACGAAAUUUAUUUUUUAAGAGUUUCAAAUACUCCAGAUUAUAUUUAAGAGUUUCAAAGUUCCAUUAUAAAAAAUAACUUAUAAGCACGAAAGGGUGUAUACUUAUAAUAUAUAUAUAUAUAUAUAUAUAUAUAUAUAUAGAGAGAGAGAGAGAGAGAGAGAGAGAGAGAGAGAGAGAGAGAGAGAGAGAGAGUUGGGUUAAAAUACUCGUAAUAGUAUCCGACUAUGGAUACUAUUAAGAGUAUCUAUAGUCGGGAUGAAAAAUUGCAAGGUUGGGAUGAUAGUGAUCCCUUAGAGUUUAGUGGUGGUUUCCUAGGUUUUAGUAGGUGGUUGCUAGAAUCGCAUGAUCUAAAGAAUGGAAUUGAUCAAGGGGUAAAUCUAAUAGUGAAAAACUGAAUAGCACAAAGUGUUUGGUACUAUAAAUAGUAUCUCGGAAAGACUAUAUGUAUGUAUGUAACUAUGUAUGUAUGUAUGUAUGUACCUUAUUUUACUUUUUAUCAUGCCUAUUGUUUACGUAGGGUGUAAUGUGGGUCGUGCCGGGCCGGCAUUGCCCACAUUUUUCGGGCCGAAACGGGCUAGGGACUGGCUCGGCCCGAGCUCUCUAGCCUUCGGCCCAGUACGGCCCCUCGGCCUGGAAGGCACGGGCCCUGCCGUGCUCCAGGCUAGCCCAUUUUUAAAUUUUUUUAAAAAAAUAUAUAAAAUAUAAGAAUAUAAACAAAAAAUUAUUUUUGUUUAAAUUGAUAUUUUGAUUAAAAUAUUUAAAAUUUAUAAAAAAUUUAUAAAAUAAUAAAUAUUUAAAUAUAUUAUAUAUAUAUUUGUAAUAUUUUUUUAAAAAAAUUUGAAAUCUUUUUUUGGUCUAAUGGACCAAAAUUAUUUUGGUCCACUUUGGUCCAUUAGACCAAAAGCAUGCCUCCCAAGGUCUGCUCACCUUGGGAGGAGGGCCACGAGAUUGGACCCAGACCCAAGACAACUUGCCUUGGGCCUGGAGUUCCGGGCCAACGGCCUCUCCUCGGCCCGGGACGGCAUAGGCCCGUUUCGGGCAGUGUCGUGCCGGGCCGUUGGGCCCCAAAAAAGCGACCUAUCAGGCGCCCGGAGAGCCGGGCUGGCCCGGUCCGGCAUGGAUGUUACAGUAGCCUUGUCCGGGCCACGGCUCGGCCUGCAUUGGUGCCAGGCAGGGCGGCCCACGGCCCGUUUUACAGCCUUAUGUUUACGGUUCAACGUUAAGUUACUUUGUAUGUGUUUUGUACCAAUGUUCUACAUUUAGGUUUUCAAAUGUUUAUUUCAAAUCAAUUGAACAUAAUAGUUUUUUACGAAAAUUAUAAUGAUGUAUAAAAUAAAAUAUAAAUUAUAGUAUCAAAACAAAUAAAAAAAAACUAUUAUUGAUACAAAAUAAACUUCCACAAUAUUAUUGAAAAAACUCUCAGCACGCAUCAUAGUAACGUACAUUAUUUUACACACAUUUUUUUUAACAUGAUCAACUGAUCACACCAUUAUUCACCUUGUCUAAUCCUGUAAUUAGGGAAAGAGCUCAAUUAUGGAGUGUGGACCACCCUUCAAAGGAGUAAUUUUGUAGUUUGCAAACCCUGCUUUGCUAAAAAUUUUUCGCCACUCGACUUCGUCGCGCUCCUUUCCGCCGAGGCCAGUCAUCAUAAUAACAUCAGACAAGAGUCCCAUUUCAUUUUUCCGGGGGUCGUCGCCGAGCGUAUUUAUCACUAUAUCCACAAUUAUGACUUUUCCGUGUUCUCCUCCAUUAGCAGAAAUUGCUUUCUUACAUUGCUUUAGAAUCUUCACGCAGUCCUCGUCGCUCCAGUCGUGAAGAACAUUCUGUGUUACACAUUUCAGGAGAUCUUUUGUCAGGAUCAAAUGCAAAUGUAACACCACUAUUUUUUGAUUGCACGUGGUAUUUGUAAUUCAUAAAAAACAAUACACGAUGAUUAAUUGCGAAAAAUAUUUGUUCAUGUAUAUAUAUAUAGAGAGAGAGAGAGAGAGUGUGUGGCUACUAUACUUUUAUGAAUAUGACCACCCUCAAACUUAUAAGUUGUUUUCGAUGAUAGAGUUUCCGAAUCGACGAUCCAUACCGUUAAAUAUUAUUUAGAACAUUUAAAACUUUUAGAAAUCAAAUUUCAUAAUUUUUCGAUAUUAUUUACCUUAUGAUUAAAAUGUCACAAAAUUGACAAAUUUUAAUGAUUGAUAUGGGAUAUGUGUUAGCUUAGCAGUGUGAAGGAAUUGGAAUAUGUUGAAUUUUUAAUAAAAAAUUAUAUUCACUACCUAAAUAAAGAUCAAUAACUCUAAUCUUAAAUUAAAAGAUCCGAUCAUCUAUUUUUCGGACAUCGUUCGAUUUUAAUCGUUGAUUUUAUGCCUGCUUGAUAGACUUUAUUAUGAUUUCGAAAAAUUACAAAAUUUAUUUUUUAGAAGUUUCAAAUACUUUAGAUCAUAUUUAAGAAAGCAGAUUGUCGAUUCGGAAGCUCUAUCAUCGAAAACAACUUAUGAGUACGAAGUGCUCUAUACUCAUAAGAAUAUAAUAGCCCUACUCUCUCUUUUUCUCUUUCUUUCUCUCUCUCUCCAUAUAUAUAUAUAUAUAUAGGCUGGAAUGCUUUUAAUAGCACUAAGUUAUUGGUGUUAUUAGAUUUUUGGUUCUUGAACAAAAGGAUGUGCUAUUAGAAUGAUAGUGAUCCUGUAGGGUUGAGUAGAUGGUUGGUUGAAUAGUAUGAUUUAUCCUAGAGUAGAUUGUUGGUUGAUUAAUAUGAUUUAACGGAUAGAGAUGGUCGAAAGGUAAAUCUAACGAUUGAAAACUUUGUAGCACCAAGUGCUUGGUGCUAUUCGAAGCACCCCAAUCGGAUUCUCUCUCUA
This 86407-nucleotide long non-coding RNA is filed under the name Ananas comosus (pineapple). RNAcentral's name for it is "long non-coding RNA (ACOM_LNC019374)". Lineage: Eukaryota; Viridiplantae; Streptophyta; Magnoliopsida; Poales; Bromeliaceae. The record is from RNAcentral.